CAAAAUUUAUAAAAAAUACAACUAGCAUUGUUGAAAGGCAAUAGAUCCUUUUUUUCAUUUGCACAUUAUCUUGCUCAUGUUCCUUGUACAUUACAUAAGCCAAACACGAUUCAAAGUUUGAACUAUGAAAGGGAAACAACUAGCAUUUGCCAUUUCUUUUCACUCAACUAUUAGUCAUUGCUAUAUAAUCAAUGACAAACCAGCAGAAAAAAUAAUAAAAGACAUUUCAACAUAUUAACUACUUGUAUAUUAUGUGAAAAAGCAUAAGUUGUUUAUACGGUUACAAAUCUCAUACCCUUUGAACUAGAGUUCCACUUCCUCACAUUCAACAUUUCUUAGUCUAAGAACCAUGUUUUGGAAAAUUUUACCAUCUUUUCAAAUAGAAUAAUUAUACAUAAACACCCUUUUUCCUUGUACCACCCAUACACACUCCUUAUGUGGGGCAAUUAUACAAUUAUUUAUUUAUUUUAUUAAUUAAAAAGAAAACCAACACAACACUCUCUCUUCCUCUGCAAAUCUGGCGCUCUCCAUCCCAACACAGCAACCCACUCUCUCUCCUCUUCUCUCCACCGCCCACACCCUCCGUCGCCACACCACUGUCGUCGCCGUCGUCAUCACCACUUCCCCUUUUCUUUCUCCUCAAACCUCUCUGACUCUAUUUGCAACUGUUUUCCUCACACAGCUCAUCACUCUGUAAUUCUCUCUCUCACAAAGCUCUCUAUCUCACCUUUGUCAUGUGUUGUGGUCAUAACCAUCGGGGUCGACGCUGCCUGCGUUCAUUGUCGUCGUUGUCGCAUGUGUUUCAGUGGUGUGUUUGAGAUACCCGACGACGAUGGUGAUGGUCAGAUCCGAGGAUGAGACGGCUAGAGACGGCAGUUGUGAGAUCAAACGGUGAGAACAGACGCUGAUAUGGAGAACGUAGGUGGUGGGCGGCGGUGUUGACUAUGGUCGGUGAAAGGGAGUGAACAGAAAGAGUUAAAUGGAUGGAAGGAAGAAAUGACGUUCAGAUAGAAGAGAGAAAGUGAAGGUGGAUUGACAAAAUUACCCUUAAUAAAAUUAAUUAAAAAUGCCACAUAUGGGGUGUACAAAGGGGAUUUGUCAGCUAAAUGUGUAUGUGUAUCAGUUCUCUUCCAAAUAAUAUGUGACUCUCUUCUGCUAAGCCUUGUAACUAUAGCCUCAUUUGGGAUGCCUUCCAACUGUAUCUUUAUUGCUUCAAAAAAUGGACCGAUCAAUCUCAAACUCAGCAACCCCCAUUUUGUCAUCCAUGCUGAAUAUUUUUCAGAUACUGCAGGGUCAUGUUUAGAAUAUUUCGUCUCAAAUUAUUUCCCAUUUCUGAAUAUUCAGAUAGUAUUAAUUAUAAGUUUUCAACAAUAUUCGUAUUUAUUUAUAGGCUAAAAUAUGGUUUUAGUCCCUGCAAAUAUGUCUCGUUUUGGUUUUAGUUCCUGUAAAAAAAAAAUUGUUUUUGGUCCCUGCAAAAUUUUUUGUUUUUGAAAAUAGUCUCUGGCCCCACUUUUGUGAUGAUUUGCAUACGUGACACAUUAUAGCUGAACCAAUUUUGUAGUUUUUGGUCCCUGCAAAUUUUUUUGUUUUUAAAAAAGGUCCCUGCAAAUUUAUUUUUUUUGAAAGUAGUCCCUCCAGGGACUAUUUUUUUCACAAGGACCAAAAACAAUUUUUUUUUCACAUGGACUAAAACCAAAAUGAGGCAUAUUUGCAGUGACUAAAACCAUAUUUGAGCCUUAUUUAUAUCUCAGCAAAUAUACACUAAUUAGUCCUUCCACCAAAUUCAUAUUACAAUAAGGACAACUUAGUCUUUAAUUAACUGCAGAUUUGAUCUUCCAUAGGCAUAGAGAGUAACAAAGCUAUGCUUUAAUUAUUACAACAAACCCCACAAUUGUUAUCUUGUACUCUUCUUUUGAAUUAUAAUGAAAUGGUAAUGAGAUUCAAUUGUUCAAAUUUUGAUUCAUCAAUUUACCUCAUCGUAUAAUUGUACAAUUUUCUUGAUUACUUGAAAAUGUUAAAUAGGUUUGGAUCUCAUCCCAAAAACUAGCUCAAAUGAUGAAGAUACUCAAGCAUAUUUAUACACUCAACAGCCCAAGAACCUGAGCAAUGUAGGACACAUAUCAGACUAAAAAUAACUUCAAAACCAACUUCAACGGAAACAACAUAUAUUAAUUAAACAACAUGCCUAAGCCUAACAAAAGCAUAAGAUAUGCUGAUGAAAGACAAACCAUGAACAUACAUCAUUAUUGAAAUUUGGAUGGAGAUUAAGAAACCCAAUUAUUUUAGUCGGAAACAAAGACCGCUACUUAUUUAAAGUAGUACAUAAAUGCAUAAUAUCGAUAUUAAGCAGGAAGAGACAUCUUCAAGAAGUCUUUUUCGAAUUUCAAGCUAGAGGCCAUCUUGAAUGCGUUUACUGCUUCAGAGACAGAGGGGAAACACAAGCCAUAUUGAAGAUUAGGAAAACGAGCACAAUAAUUGCCACUACCCUUUUUUGUGCAUUCAGCAUGAGACCAACAUAACUUAGGUGGUUCCUCAACCUUCUUCUUAAGCUCUGCAUAUGAACGAGGAUCAUAACAUUCAUACAUAGGAACAACUGGAUGCCAAGUUAACGCGCAGACACAAUCGCCAUUACAUCCAUAAUCCGGAUUGCAAGGAACACGGAAACAAAAUGCUGCUUCAACUUUCUUCAUUGGGAAUAUCACUGUAAAUGAUAAAGCUAAUUAACGUUUGAACAACAUACACUUAGUCCUAUAGAGGUGUCCGUGCUUCAUAGCUCUUUUUUAUAUCUUUUUAUUUUUCGUUAUCGUUUAUAUAUAUUUUAAAAGAGUCGAACACAAUUCAAACCUUCUAAUUCUGGUGUUUUUUUCACCUUCAAAAUUGGCAUUAGACCAAAGUCUCUGAAGUUUUACUUAACUGUGUCAGAGAAUAAAUCAUAAGGCUUUGUUUGGGAGUUUGGAGGGAAAGAGAAUGGAGGGCUUUGGGGGGUUGGAAAAAUAUAGAAAAAUGGACAAAAAAUUUACAUUUUUUGAAAGAGCAGUUUUUUAGAGAAUGAUAAACUAAUACUUAUGAUUAAUAUACUUUUAAUUUUAAGAAUAUUAUAACAAGAUAGAUUGAAUUUGAAAAAUUCAUAUAAACCCUCUGUAACCCCCCAAAACCCUCCCCCAAUACAAUUUUUGAGUUUCCCCAGAUGAGGGAAAUUUUUUAUUAUGAGUAAAAAAUUAACCUCCAAAGCCCUCUCCUCCCAAUGUCUUCUAUUUCUUCCACUUGCUCCUUCCUUUUUUCGAAACCCUCCCCUCCCCUCCCCUCCAAAUUCCCAAACAAAGCCUAAGGAAAAUAUGACUUCCUCUACUACCUCCGUUUCCAUAAAUGAUUCCAAAAUGAUUCAUAUAUGUCUAGACUACAUAUGACCAGUAGUGAUGUAGAAUAGUUGGCUUGAUGGAAAAACAAACUAUACAGUAUCUGCAUAUACAUGCCACACAUUACUACAAAACUAGUGACGUAAAUUAGUGACAGAAAAAAUAAAUCCCUAACCAAUUUUGUCCUUGCAAAAUUAAGUAAUUUAAUUAGAGAGGAAUUUUAUGUUUUUCAUCUCUUAAUUUUCCUAGAUAAUUUUUGCUUUUUAGAGACCUAUGACGUGGCUUCAAAGUUGAAAGAUAUACUUAAUAAAUUAAUAUUUAGGACAGUGGAUAAUUAAUAAUUGGGAGUAGAUUCCGAUUAAUUUUUCUCAUGAUUUCAAAAAAAUAAGUAGAAAUGCAUGGUAUAUAUAGGUGAGAAAGAUCAUUGAAAUACAUACAGAAUGCGGCAAGCAUAAAGACAGCAAAAGGAGCAAGCUUAACAUAAGUCAUUGUUCUAUCAAAAGAAAGAACCAGCUACAAAAUACUAUUGUUUGUUAAUUAUGAGCUCAACUUUGUAUUGCACUAGUUCAUUUCUUGCAUUCAACAAUUUAUAGACAAAAUAAAAGUUAAUUGCUUAUAAAAAAAAUAAAUAAAUAAUUCAGAAGCGAGGGACACGACGUUAAUUGCUUAUGAAAUAAAUAAAUAAAAAAUAAUUGGUCCCCUCUCAUCAAAGAAAAUCUUCUAUCUGCUUAUCUAUAAUUUAGGGUAGAAAAAACACAAGCUUCUAUGUGGUUGAUAGUAGUUUUGCGUAUAAGGCAUCUAUCCUCAAUGGUGCUGCACCAUCCGGUAAAUGAGCACAAUAAUUACCACUACCCUUUUAUGUGCAUUCAGCAUGAGACCAACAUAAGUUAGGUUGUUCCUCAACCUUCUUCUUAAGCUCUGCAGAUGAACGAGGAGGACCACAUAUAUAUUGAGGAACAACUGGAUGCCAAACGUACUCGCAGACACAAUUGCCAGUACAUCUAAAUGCAUAAUCGCAAGGAACACUGAAACAUAUAGCUGCUUCAACUUUCUUCAUUGGAAAUAUCACUAUAAAUGAUAAAGCUAAUUAAGGUUUGAACAACAUACACAUACCAUUAUUAACAUUAUUAUAAAAAUAAAAUUAGUGACCAAUUUUAAAUUUAAAAAAAAAAACUGAAAUUUAUUACUUCCAUCGCUAAAUUUAGUAGAAAAUGAUUUCAUAUUUUCCCUCACUUAAAUUUUGUGGAUAAUUUAAUUAUUCUCAGCCGAGGACAGAAGCAAAAGCAUAUACAAUCCUUUUUGUAGACAACUUGUUGUUGUAUAUAUCUUUAGAUUGAGAUUAGGAAGUCUUAUCGGUUGAGGCACGGAAAUCUUGGACAAGGUUGUCUUAGUGUCGUUGUAAUCAGAAUUUAAUUACAGUGUUCAAAUCUCUUGGAAGUGCAGGGUGAACCACGAUAAACACUAUGUGUUGUCUCUUUCUCGUAUCUUUGUGUUGUCUCUUUUUCGUAUCUUUUUAUUUUUCACUAUCGUUUAUAUGUGUUUUAAAAGAUAUUUCAAAAAGAGUCAAACACAAUUCAAACCUCCUAAUUCUGGUAUUUUUCUCACCUUCAAUUGGCAUCAGAGCAAGGUCUCUGAAGUUUUACUACUUAACCGUGUAAGAAAAAUCCUAAGAAAAACAAUAUUCGUAUUUAUUUAUAUCUCAACAAACAUACACUAAUUUGUCCUUCCAUCAAAUUCAUAUUACAUUAAGGACAACUUAGUCAAAAAAACUGCUUUACUUUAAUUAACUGCGGAUUUGAUCUUCCAUAGGCAUAGAACGUAACAAAGCUAUGCUUUAAUUAUUACAACAAACCCCACAAUUGUUAUCUUGUACUCUUCUUUUGAAUUAUAAUGAAAUGGUAAUGAGAUUCAAUUGUUCAAAUUUUGAUUCAUCAAUUUACCUCAUUGUAUUAUUGUACAAUUUUCUUGAUUACUUGAAAAUGUUAAAUAGGCUUGGAUCUCAUCCCAAAAGUUAGCUCAAAUGAUGAGGNAAUUCAGAAGCGAGGGACACGACGUUAAUUGCUUAUGAAAUAAAUAAAUAAAAAAUAAUUGGUCCCCUCUCAUCAAAGAAAAUCUUCUAUCUGCUUAUCUAUAAUUUAGGGUAGAAAAAACACAAGCUUCUAUGUGGUUGAUAGUAGUUUUGCGUAUAAGGCAUCUAUCCUCAAUGGUGCUGCACCAUCCGGUAAAUGAGCACAAUAAUUACCACUACCCUUUUAUGUGCAUUCAGCAUGAGACCAACAUAAGUUAGGUUGUUCCUCAACCUUCUUCUUAAGCUCUGCAGAUGAACGAGGAGGACCACAUAUAUAUUGAGGAACAACUGGAUGCCAAACGUACUCGCAGACACAAUUGCCAGUACAUCUAAAUGCAUAAUCGCAAGGAACACUGAAACAUAUAGCUGCUUCAACUUUCUUCAUUGGAAAUAUCACUAUAAAUGAUAAAGCUAAUUAAGGUUUGAACAACAUACACAUACCAUUAUUAACAUUAUUAUAAAAAUAAAAUUAGUGACCAAUUUUAAAUUUAAAAAAAAAAACUGAAAUUUAUUACUUCCAUCGCUAAAUUUAGUAGAAAAUGAUUUCAUAUUUUCCCUCACUUAAAUUUUGUGGAUAAUUUAAUUAUUCUCAGCCGAGGACAGAAGCAAAAGCAUAUACAAUCCUUUUUGUAGACAACUUGUUGUUGUAUAUAUCUUUAGAUUGAGAUUAGGAAGUCUUAUCGGUUGAGGCACGGAAAUCUUGGACAAGGUUGUCUUAGUGUCGUUGUAAUCAGAAUUUAAUUACAGUGUUCAAAUCUCUUGGAAGUGCAGGGUGAACCACGAUAAACACUAUGUGUUGUCUCUUUCUCGUAUCUUUGUGUUGUCUCUUUUUCGUAUCUUUUUAUUUUUCACUAUCGUUUAUAUGUGUUUUAAAAGAUAUUUCAAAAAGAGUCAAACACAAUUCAAACCUCCUAAUUCUGGUAUUUUUCUCACCUUCAAUUGGCAUCAGAGCAAGGUCUCUGAAGUUUUACUACUUAACCGUGUAAGAAAAAUCCUAAGAAAAACAAUAUUCGUAUUUAUUUAUAUCUCAACAAACAUACACUAAUUUGUCCUUCCAUCAAAUUCAUAUUACAUUAAGGACAACUUAGUCAAAAAAACUGCUUUACUUUAAUUAACUGCGGAUUUGAUCUUCCAUAGGCAUAGAACGUAACAAAGCUAUGCUUUAAUUAUUACAACAAACCCCACAAUUGUUAUCUUGUACUCUUCUUUUGAAUUAUAAUGAAAUGGUAAUGAGAUUCAAUUGUUCAAAUUUUGAUUCAUCAAUUUACCUCAUUGUAUUAUUGUACAAUUUUCUUGAUUACUUGAAAAUGUUAAAUAGGCUUGGAUCUCAUCCCAAAAGUUAGCUCAAAUGAUGAGGGUACUCAAGCAUAUUUAUACAUCCAACAGCCUAAGAACUUGAGCGAUAUAGGACAAAUAACAAACUACAAAUAAUUCAAAACCAACUUCAACAAAAACAACAUAUAUUAAUUAAACAACAGGCCUAACAAAAGCAUAAGAUAUGCUGAUGAAAGGAAAACCAUGAACAUACAUCAUUAUUGAAAUUUGGAUGGAUAUUAAGAAACCCAAUUAUUUAAAGUUGUACAUAAAUGCAUAAUAUCGAUAUUAAGCAGGAAGAGACAUCUUCAAGAAGUCUUUUUCGAAUUUCAAGCUAGAGGCCAUCUUGAAUGUGUUUACUGCUUCAGAGAUAGAGGGAAAACACAAGCCAUAUUUGAGAUUGGAAUUAGGAAAACGAGCACAAUAAUUCCCACUACCCUUUUCUGUGCAUUCAGUAUGAGACCAACAUAACUUAGGUUGUUCCUCUACCUUCUUCUUAAGCUCUGCAGAUGAAUGAGGAGUGACACAUUUAAAGUUAAGCCGCGGAGGAAGUGAUGCAAUAAAGGGUUCGCAGUCACAAUCGCCACUACAAUAAAGUCGAGGGUAAGGGCAAUAAGCGCCACAUUUAUCUGCUUCUACUUUCUUCAUUGGGAAUAUCACUGUAAAUGAUAAAGCUAAUUAAGGAUUGAACAAUAUACACAUACCAUUAUUAACAUUAUUAUAAAAAUAAAAUUAGUUACCAAUUUUAGAUUAAAAAAACUGAAAUUUAUGUGUUUUAAUAGCUUUCAAAAAGAGUCAAACACAAUUCAAACCUCUCAAUUUUGGUGUAUUUCUGACCUUUAGUUGGCAUCAGAGCAAAGUCUCUGAAAUUUUACUUAACCGUGUAAGAGAAAUGAUCCUAAGAAAAAUAUAACCUCCGUUACCUCCAUUCCAAAAAGUGAUUCCAAGAAUGAUUCAUAUAUGUCUAGACUACCUAUGAUCAGUAGUGAUGUAGACAGAGACGGAUCUAGACAUUCGGUAUAUGUGUGACUAAAAUUUUAAAAAAAAAUAAUGCAAACAAUAUGAAAAAUAAGAAAUAACAUUGUUUGAUACAAUACAAUUUCAAUGAAAAUGGUCUCCUAUCCAUUUGUUGAAAAUGCGAAAAUAACGGCGCCGCUAAUUUUUAAAAGAACAUUUCUUUCUAUAUAAGUUACAGUAUAAGAUAGUCAUUUAACCACAAAUCACUUAUUUUGUUGCAUAGUUGAUUGUUCACAAUUUUUGUAGCUGAAAAAACACGUUCAACACUUGCAAUUGCUACCCACAAUAGCAACUAACUUAAAAGCUUAUAAACCAUAACAAAUAUGUUGCACUUAUUUGUUUCGUGGGAGAGAGAAAUGUUUUGAUAUAGUUGUAUGUUUUAUUUAUUAAAAAAAAAAAAAAUAAUUGGGGAGUGGAUGUGUGCCUUUAGCCACACAUGGCCACACAAUGCAUCCGCCUCUGGAUGUAGAAGAGUUGGCUUGAUGGAAAAAACAAACUAUACAGUAUCUGCAUAUACAUGCCACACAUUACUAGAAGAAAAAAAACAAAACUAGCGACAUAAAUUAGUGACAAAAAGAAUGAAAUCCCUCACCAAUUUUAUUCUCGCAUAAUUUAGUAACCUAAUUAAAGAGGAAUUUUAUGUUUUUCAUCUCUUAAUUACACUAGCUAAUUUUUGCAUUUUAGUGACCUAUGACGUGGCUUCAAAGUUGAAACAUAUACUUAAUAAAUUAAUAUUUAGGACAGUGGAUAAUUGAUAAUUGGGAGUAGAUUCCGAUUAAUUUUUCUCAUGAUUUCGAAAAAAUAAGUAGAAAUGCAUGGUAUAUAUAUAGGUGAGAAAGAUGGUUGAAAUACAUACAGAAUGCGGCAAGCAAGAAGACAGCCAAAGGAGCUAGCUUAACAUAAGUCAUUGUUCUAUCAAAAGAAAGAACCAGCUACAAAAUACUAUUGUUUGUAUUGCACUAGUUCAUUUCUUGCAUUCAACAAUUUAUAGACAAAAUAAAAGUUAAUUGCUUAUAAAAAAAAUAAAUAAAAAAUUCAGAAGCGAGGGACACGACGUUAAUUGCUUAUGAAAUAAAUAAAUAAAAAAUAAUUGGUCCCCUCUCAUCAAAGAAAAUCUUCUAUCUGCUUAUCUAUAAUUUAGGGUAGAAAAAACACAAGCUUCUAUGUGGUUGAUAGUAGUUUUGCGUAUAAGGCAUCUAUCCUCAAUGGUGCUGCACCAUCCGGUCAAAUGACCGUGCCAUGUAAAUUGUAUCUGCAUGUCUCAAGUGCAGUUAAAUAAUCUAUCUUCAGAGAUUACAAUCGUGAUUCUAUCAUAUUUAACACAAAGUUGAAGUAGUUAACUCAAGAGAAUGUUGUAGACAUUGUGUGUCAAGGAUUUUGAUCGCAAAGUGGAUCUAUUAUUCAACAAAUACAUUUUCCUUUAGAUUAACAAUAGUCUUCCAUGGCCAAUUCCAUACAGCGGAUGAUCUUCCAUGAAAAUUUCGAUUAUGGAUCUUGCCUUAAUUUCUGCUAAGAAUCUCAUAUCGGAUAGGUGAUGGCCUGAUAAUGUGUUUAUAAGUGGGGGCAAUCCUCACCUCAUAAGCCGGUUCUGUACCAGUCUUGAUAGGAACAAAAUGCGCUGACUUCGUCAACCGAUCAACAAUCACCCAAAUCGAAUCGAAACCCUUACUAGUCUUAGGCAACGCUCCAACAAAAUCCAUAGAAAUGCUAUCCCACUUCCACUCUGGCACAAACAACGGUUGCAUCAAACCCGACGGUCUCUGAUGUUCAAUCUUCGAUUUCUGACAAACCAAACAAGCAUAAACAAACUCAGCAAUCUCCUUCUUCAUUCCAGGCCACCAAAACAACCUUUUCAAAUCCUGAUACAUCUUAGUUGCUCCUGGAUGAAUACUCAAACUACUUCUAUGACCUUCGUCCAAAAUUUGCCUCUUAAGCUCAAACACAUCCGGCACACAAACUCGAUCACGAAACAUCAAAACACCAGUCUCACCCAAUCUAAAGUCUCCACCUUUUCCUUGAUUAACCAACGUCACUCGAUUCACGAGUUCCAAAUCUUCCUUCUGACCAUUCUUGAUCUCUUCCAAAAUAUUGCUUGUCAACUUCAACAUACCCAACCUCACACCAUCAGGUGUCAACUCACUAACCAAACUCAAGUCUCGAAACUGCUCAAUCAAUUCCAACUCUUUAACCAUCAAAGCAGACAUAUGCAAAGUCUUUCUACUCAAAGCAUCCGCAACAACAUUAGCCUUUCCGGGAUGAUAACUCAACUGAAAAUCAAAAUCCUUAAGAUAUUCCAACCAUCUUCUCUGCCUCAUAUUCAACUCUUUCUGAUCAAACAAAUACUUCAAACUCUUGUGGUCACUGAACACCUCAAACUUAGAACCAUACAGAUAAUGUCUCCAAAUCUUCAAUGUAUACACAACGGCUGCCAAUUCCAAAUCAUGAGUCGGAUAAUUCUUCUCAUGCACUUUCAAUUGCCUCGAAGCAUAAGCUACAACCUGACGAUUCUGCAUAAGCACACCACCAAGACCCAUCUUAGAAGCAUCACAAUACACAACAAACGAUUCCUUCGGAUUCGGCAAAAUCAACACCGGAGCUGAAGUCAACCUCUUCUUCAACUCUUGGAAACUCUUCUCACACUUGGCAUCCCAAACAUAAGCCUGUCCUUUCCGAGUCAACUGCGUCAAUGGCAACGCCAACUUAGAGAAUCCCUCAAUGAACCUCCGAUAAUAACCGGCCAAACCAAGAAAGCUUCUAAUCUCAAAAACAGACUUAGGAGACUCCCACUGCAACACUGCAUCAACCUUGGAAGGAUCCACAGAAAUACCACCCUUAGAAAUCACAUGACCAAGGAAACUCACUUCCUUCAACCAAAACUCACACUUAGACAACUUGGCACACAACUGGUUCUCUUUCAAGACUUGCAACACAAUCCUCAAAUGCUCAGCAUGCUCUUCCUCAGACUUUGAAUACACCAAAAUAUCAUCUAUGAACACCACCACAAAACGGUCCAGAUAAGGAUGAAAUAUUCUAUUCAUGUAUUCCAUAAAGACACCUGGUGCAUUAGAUACUCCAAAUGGCAUCACAGAAUACUCAUAGUGUCCAUACCUCGUUCGGAACGCAGUUUUGGAUAUAUCUUCCGCCUUUACUCUAAUCUGAUGAUAUCCUGAUCUCAAAUCAAUCUUACUAAACACCUCUGCACCCACUAGCUGAUCCAUCAAAUCAUCAAUCCUUGGAAGUGGAUACCGAUUCUUAAUCGUCACCUUGUUCAACUGUCGAUAAUCCACACACAACCUCAUGCUUCCAUCUUUCUUCUUAACCAACAACACUGGAGCACCCCACGGUGAAACACUCGGUCUAAUAAACUGCUUCUCAAGCAACUCUUCCAACUGAUUCUUCAAUUCACCCAACUCCGAUGCAGACAUCCGAUACGGCGCAAUCGAAAUAGGACUCGUGCCUGGUACCAAAUCAAUUGCAAACUCAACUUCCCUCUCCGGCGGUAACUCGGUAAUAUCCUCUGGAAAAACCUCAGGAAACUCUUGCACUACCGGCAAAUCACUAACCCCUUUCUCACCACCAACCUUCAAAGAUGCAAACAUCAUAAACACACAAGCCUCACCAUCUAAAGACUUCUUCACUUGCUCCGCGGUCAAAAACUUCCUAUCUAACUCUUCUACCGGCUUAGAAAAAGUCACACUCCUAGUCAAACAAUUAAUGCUAACCCCAAAAGCUAACAACCAAUCCAUACCAAAAAUAACAUCCAUAUGCUUCAACGGAAGACAAACAAGAUCCAACUCAAAAUCAACAUCACCAAAAUUAACAGAACACUUAACACAAACCACAACCAACUGAGCCUCCGCAACCAAGAUAUGUUCCCUUGCCAGACUAACACAAACCACUAACCGAUAAGAAAACAACACAACAGAGCAAGUGCCGAAGGUACUAAACUACCAUUCGCCCACAACAGGGAAAAACAACAAAGAUUAAUCUAAACACGACUGACCAUGGCUCUGAUACCAACUUGUAACACUCUUAUUUCUAUUAAAGCAAUUAAACAUACGAAUAAUACAUUUAUUCAAGAAAUAGAGGCUACGCCACAUUCAAAAUUCAAAAAAAAUCAAUAAACAUGUAUAUAAACCUCAACAGUCGCAGCGGAAUAUAAACCAGAGUAAUCCAAAUAUACACGUUAUGAAUAAUAAAUUACAUCAACAUAGAUGCAUCUCAAAAAUCCCAACAAACGGGUAAUCUCCAAACAUAACAAAAAUCCAAAAUAAAAGAUAAUCUAGACCGACACAACUAAGCCUAGAUCAGAGCCGACUAAACAUCUAAACACCGAUAUCGGAGAAAGCUCUCGAUAUCCACCAAGCACAAAACUCAACAAGCAUCUAAACCUGCACAACAUCUACCCAUCCAUACAGAUAGGCAGGCGGUCCAUAACAGAUCCACUGGGUGUAAGUAUUACAUUAUCAUAAUCCAAAUAACAGUUAACAUGAAUAUUUCAAUUUAAACAUCAUGCACUUGAUCAAUAAUAAUAUUCUCAUAUCAAUACUUACAUCAAAUCCCAAUAUCUCACAUUAAUAAUCAUCAAUCACAUGUGUCAUGAACAAAUAUCAAUUCACAUUUAUUCAUACACAAUCACCAAUCAUAUACAUCAUGAACAAUCAUUAAUCACACACAUUUCAUGAACAAUCGUUAAUCACAAUUCAUGAACAAUCACCAAUCAUAUUCCAUGAACAAUCACCAAUCAUAUUCCAUGAACAUUCAUUAAUCACAUUUCAUGGACAAUCAUCAAUCACAUGUGUCAAACAUCAAUUCACAAUUAUUCACACAUACUCACCAAUCACCAAUCACAUUUUCAAAUAUGACUCAUGUCAUGAUAUGCACUUAUUGACACAUAAAUGCAUGUGGUACCAAAUCUCCAAAAGGUCGUCACCUCCAAAUCCAGAUCUCAAAAGAUCUCUGCCAGGCCGAAGCCCUAUAACGAAUAAAACAUCGUAUCCAGAUCUCAAAAGAUCUCUGCNAUGGUAAUGAGAUUCAAUUGUUCAAAUUUUGAUUCAUCAAUUUACCUCAUUGUAUUAUUGUACAAUUUUCUUGAUUACUUGAAAAUGUUAAAUAGGCUUGGAUCUCAUCCCAAAAGUUAGCUCAAAUGAUGAGGGUACUCAAGCAUAUUUAUACAUCCAACAGCCUAAGAACUUGAGCGAUAUAGGACAAAUAACAAACUACAAAUAAUUCAAAACCAACUUCAACAAAAACAACAUAUAUUAAUUAAACAACAGGCCUAACAAAAGCAUAAGAUAUGCUGAUGAAAGGAAAACCAUGAACAUACAUCAUUAUUGAAAUUUGGAUGGAUAUUAAGAAACCCAAUUAUUUAAAGUUGUACAUAAAUGCAUAAUAUCGAUAUUAAGCAGGAAGAGACAUCUUCAAGAAGUCUUUUUCGAAUUUCAAGCUAGAGGCCAUCUUGAAUGUGUUUACUGCUUCAGAGAUAGAGGGAAAACACAAGCCAUAUUUGAGAUUGGAAUUAGGAAAACGAGCACAAUAAUUCCCACUACCCUUUUCUGUGCAUUCAGUAUGAGACCAACAUAACUUAGGUUGUUCCUCUACCUUCUUCUUAAGCUCUGCAGAUGAAUGAGGAGUGACACAUUUAAAGUUAAGCCGCGGAGGAAGUGAUGCAAUAAAGGGUUCGCAGUCACAAUCGCCACUACAAUAAAGUCGAGGGUAAGGGCAAUAAGCGCCACAUUUAUCUGCUUCUACUUUCUUCAUUGGGAAUAUCACUGUAAAUGAUAAAGCUAAUUAAGGAUUGAACAAUAUACACAUACCAUUAUUAACAUUAUUAUAAAAAUAAAAUUAGUUACCAAUUUUAGAUUAAAAAAACUGAAAUUUAUGUGUUUUAAUAGCUUUCAAAAAGAGUCAAACACAAUUCAAACCUCUCAAUUUUGGUGUAUUUCUGACCUUUAGUUGGCAUCAGAGCAAAGUCUCUGAAAUUUUACUUAACCGUGUAAGAGAAAUGAUCCUAAGAAAAAUAUAACCUCCGUUACCUCCAUUCCAAAAAGUGAUUCCAAGAAUGAUUCAUAUAUGUCUAGACUACCUAUGAUCAGUAGUGAUGUAGACAGAGACGGAUCUAGACAUUCGGUAUAUGUGUGACUAAAAUUUUAAAAAAAAAUAAUGCAAACAAUAUGAAAAAUAAGAAAUAACAUUGUUUGAUACAAUACAAUUUCAAUGAAAAUGGUCUCCUAUCCAUUUGUUGAAAAUGCGAAAAUAACGGCGCCGCUAAUUUUUAAAAGAACAUUUCUUUCUAUAUAAGUUACAGUAUAAGAUAGUCAUUUAACCACAAAUCACUUAUUUUGUUGCAUAGUUGAUUGUUCACAAUUUUUGUAGCUGAAAAAACACGUUCAACACUUGCAAUUGCUACCCACAAUAGCAACUAACUUAAAAGCUUAUAAACCAUAACAAAUAUGUUGCACUUAUUUGUUUCGUGGGAGAGAGAAAUGUUUUGAUAUAGUUGUAUGUUUUAUUUAUUAAAAAAAAAAAAAAUAAUUGGGGAGUGGAUGUGUGCCUUUAGCCACACAUGGCCACACAAUGCAUCCGCCUCUGGAUGUAGAAGAGUUGGCUUGAUGGAAAAAACAAACUAUACAGUAUCUGCAUAUACAUGCCACACAUUACUAGAAGAAAAAAAACAAAACUAGCGACAUAAAUUAGUGACAAAAAGAAUGAAAUCCCUCACCAAUUUUAUUCUCGCAUAAUUUAGUAACCUAAUUAAAGAGGAAUUUUAUGUUUUUCAUCUCUUAAUUACACUAGCUAAUUUUUGCAUUUUAGUGACCUAUGACGUGGCUUCAAAGUUGAAACAUAUACUUAAUAAAUUAAUAUUUAGGACAGUGGAUAAUUGAUAAUUGGGAGUAGAUUCCGAUUAAUUUUUCUCAUGAUUUCGAAAAAAUAAGUAGAAAUGCAUGGUAUAUAUAUAGGUGAGAAAGAUGGUUGAAAUACAUACAGAAUGCGGCAAGCAAGAAGACAGCCAAAGGAGCUAGCUUAACAUAAGUCAUUGUUCUAUCAAAAGAAAGAACCAGCUACAAAAUACUAUUGUUUGUUAAUUAUGAGCUCAACUUUGUAUUGCACUAGUUCAUUUCUUGCAUUCAACAAUUUAUAGACAAAAUAAAAGUUAAUUGCUUAUAAAAAAAAUAAAUAAAUAAUUCAGAAGCGAGGGACACGACGUUAAUUGCUUAUGAAAUAAAUAAAUAAAAAAUAAUUGGUCCCCUCUCAUCAAAGAAAAUCUUCUAUCUGCUUAUCUAUAAUUUAGGGUAGAAAAAACACAAGCUUCUAUGUGGUUGAUAGUAGUUUUGCGUAUAAGGCAUCUAUCCUCAAUGGUGCUGCACCAUCCGGUAAAUGAGCACAAUAAUUACCACUACCCUUUUAUGUGCAUUCAGCAUGAGACCAACAUAAGUUAGGUUGUUCCUCAACCUUCUUCUUAAGCUCUGCAGAUGAACGAGGAGGACCACAUAUAUAUUGAGGAACAACUGGAUGCCAAACGUACUCGCAGACACAAUUGCCAGUACAUCUAAAUGCAUAAUCGCAAGGAACACUGAAACAUAUAGCUGCUUCAACUUUCUUCAUUGGAAAUAUCACUAUAAAUGAUAAAGCUAAUUAAGGUUUGAACAACAUACACAUACCAUUAUUAACAUUAUUAUAAAAAUAAAAUUAGUGACCAAUUUUAAAUUUAAAAAAAAAAACUGAAAUUUAUUACUUCCAUCGCUAAAUUUAGUAGAAAAUGAUUUCAUAUUUUCCCUCACUUAAAUUUUGUGGAUAAUUUAAUUAUUCUCAGCCGAGGACAGAAGCAAAAGCAUAUACAAUCCUUUUUGUAGACAACUUGUUGUUGUAUAUAUCUUUAGAUUGAGAUUAGGAAGUCUUAUCGGUUGAGGCACGGAAAUCUUGGACAAGGUUGUCUUAGUGUCGUUGUAAUCAGAAUUUAAUUACAGUGUUCAAAUCUCUUGGAAGUGCAGGGUGAACCACGAUAAACACUAUGUGUUGUCUCUUUCUCGUAUCUUUGUGUUGUCUCUUUUUCGUAUCUUUUUAUUUUUCACUAUCGUUUAUAUGUGUUUUAAAAGAUAUUUCAAAAAGAGUCAAACACAAUUCAAACCUCCUAAUUCUGGUAUUUUUCUCACCUUCAAUUGGCAUCAGAGCAAGGUCUCUGAAGUUUUACUACUUAACCGUGUAAGAAAAAUCCUAAGAAAAACAAUAUUCGUAUUUAUUUAUAUCUCAACAAACAUACACUAAUUUGUCCUUCCAUCAAAUUCAUAUUACAUUAAGGACAACUUAGUCAAAAAAACUGCUUUACUUUAAUUAACUGCGGAUUUGAUCUUCCAUAGGCAUAGAACGUAACAAAGCUAUGCUUUAAUUAUUACAACAAACCCCACAAUUGUUAUCUUGUACUCUUCUUUUGAAUUAUAAUGAAAUGGUAAUGAGAUUCAAUUGUUCAAAUUUUGAUUCAUCAAUUUACCUCAUUGUAUUAUUGUACAAUUUUCUUGAUUACUUGAAAAUGUUAAAUAGGCUUGGAUCUCAUCCCAAAAGUUAGCUCAAAUGAUGAGGGUACUCAAGCAUAUUUAUACAUCCAACAGCCUAAGAACUUGAGCGAUAUAGGACAAAUAACAAACUACAAAUAAUUCAAAACCAACUUCAACAAAAACAACAUAUAUUAAUUAAACAACAGGCCUAACAAAAGCAUAAGAUAUGCUGAUGAAAGGAAAACCAUGAACAUACAUCAUUAUUGAAAUUUGGAUGGAUAUUAAGAAACCCAAUUAUUUAAAGUUGUACAUAAAUGCAUAAUAUCGAUAUUAAGCAGGAAGAGACAUCUUCAAGAAGUCUUUUUCGAAUUUCAAGCUAGAGGCCAUCUUGAAUGUGUUUACUGCUUCAGAGAUAGAGGGAAAACACAAGCCAUAUUUGAGAUUGGAAUUAGGAAAACGAGCACAAUAAUUCCCACUACCCUUUUCUGUGCAUUCAGUAUGAGACCAACAUAACUUAGGUUGUUCCUCUACCUUCUUCUUAAGCUCUGCAGAUGAAUGAGGAGUGACACAUUUAAAGUUAAGCCGCGGAGGAAGUGAUGCAAUAAAGGGUUCGCAGUCACAAUCGCCACUACAAUAAAGUCGAGGGUAAGGGCAAUAAGCGCCACAUUUAUCUGCUUCUACUUUCUUCAUUGGGAAUAUCACUGUAAAUGAUAAAGCUAAUUAAGGAUUGAACAAUAUACACAUACCAUUAUUAACAUUAUUAUAAAAAUAAAAUUAGUUACCAAUUUUAGAUUAAAAAAACUGAAAUUUAUGUGUUUUAAUAGCUUUCAAAAAGAGUCAAACACAAUUCAAACCUCUCAAUUUUGGUGUAUUUCUGACCUUUAGUUGGCAUCAGAGCAAAGUCUCUGAAAUUUUACUUAACCGUGUAAGAGAAAUGAUCCUAAGAAAAAUAUAACCUCCGUUACCUCCAUUCCAAAAAGUGAUUCCAAGAAUGAUUCAUAUAUGUCUAGACUACCUAUGAUCAGUAGUGAUGUAGACAGAGACGGAUCUAGACAUUCGGUAUAUGUGUGACUAAAAUUUUAAAAAAAAAUAAUGCAAACAAUAUGAAAAAUAAGAAAUAACAUUGUUUGAUACAAUACAAUUUCAAUGAAAAUGGUCUCCUAUCCAUUUGUUGAAAAUGCGAAAAUAACGGCGCCGCUAAUUUUUAAAAGAACAUUUCUUUCUAUAUAAGUUACAGUAUAAGAUAGUCAUUUAACCACAAAUCACUUAUUUUGUUGCAUAGUUGAUUGUUCACAAUUUUUGUAGCUGAAAAAACACGUUCAACACUUGCAAUUGCUACCCACAAUAGCAACUAACUUAAAAGCUUAUAAACCAUAACAAAUAUGUUGCACUUAUUUGUUUCGUGGGAGAGAGAAAUGUUUUGAUAUAGUUGUAUGUUUUAUUUAUUAAAAAAAAAAAAAAUAAUUGGGGAGUGGAUGUGUGCCUUUAGCCACACAUGGCCACACAAUGCAUCCGCCUCUGGAUGUAGAAGAGUUGGCUUGAUGGAAAAAACAAACUAUACAGUAUCUGCAUAUACAUGCCACACAUUACUAGAAGAAAAAAAACAAAACUAGCGACAUAAAUUAGUGACAAAAAGAAUGAAAUCCCUCACCAAUUUUAUUCUCGCAUAAUUUAGUAACCUAAUUAAAGAGGAAUUUUAUGUUUUUCAUCUCUUAAUUACACUAGCUAAUUUUUGCAUUUUAGUGACCUAUGACGUGGCUUCAAAGUUGAAACAUAUACUUAAUAAAUUAAUAUUUAGGACAGUGGAUAAUUGAUAAUUGGGAGUAGAUUCCGAUUAAUUUUUCUCAUGAUUUCGAAAAAAUAAGUAGAAAUGCAUGGUAUAUAUAUAGGUGAGAAAGAUGGUUGAAAUACAUACAGAAUGCGGCAAGCAAGAAGACAGCCAAAGGAGCUAGCUUAACAUAAGUCAUUGUUCUAUCAAAAGAAAGAACCAGCUACAAAAUACUAUUGUUUGUAUUGCACUAGUUCAUUUCUUGCAUUCAACAAUUUAUAGACAAAAUAAAAGUUAAUUGCUUAUAAAAAAAAUAAAUAAAAAAUUCAGAAGCGAGGGACACGACGUUAAUUGCUUAUGAAAUAAAUAAAUAAAAAAUAAUUGGUCCCCUCUCAUCAAAGAAAAUCUUCUAUCUGCUUAUCUAUAAUUUAGGGUAGAAAAAACACAAGCUUCUAUGUGGUUGAUAGUAGUUUUGCGUAUAAGGCAUCUAUCCUCAAUGGUGCUGCACCAUCCGGUCAAAUGACCGUGCCAUGUAAAUUGUAUCUGCAUGUCUCAAGUGCAGUUAAAUAAUCUAUCUUCAGAGAUUACAAUCGUGAUUCUAUCAUAUUUAACACAAAGUUGAAGUAGUUAACUCAAGAGAAUGUUGUAGACAUUGUGUGUCAAGGAUUUUGAUCGCAAAGUGGAUCUAUUAUUCAACAAAUACAUUUUCCUUUAGAUUAACAAUAGUCUUCCAUGGCCAAUUCCAUACAGCGGAUGAUCUUCCAUGAAAAUUUCGAUUAUGGAUCUUGCCUUAAUUUCUGCUAAGAAUCUCAUAUCGGAUAGGUGAUGGCCUGAUAAUGUGUUUAUAAGUGGGGGCAAUCCUCACCUCAUAAGCCGGUUCUGUACCAGUCUUGAUAGGAACAAAAUGCGCUGACUUCGUCAACCGAUCAACAAUCACCCAAAUCGAAUCGAAACCCUUACUAGUCUUAGGCAACGCUCCAACAAAAUCCAUAGAAAUGCUAUCCCACUUCCACUCUGGCACAAACAACGGUUGCAUCAAACCCGACGGUCUCUGAUGUUCAAUCUUCGAUUUCUGACAAACCAAACAAGCAUAAACAAACUCAGCAAUCUCCUUCUUCAUUCCAGGCCACCAAAACAACCUUUUCAAAUCCUGAUACAUCUUAGUUGCUCCUGGAUGAAUACUCAAACUACUUCUAUGACCUUCGUCCAAAAUUUGCCUCUUAAGCUCAAACACAUCCGGCACACAAACUCGAUCACGAAACAUCAAAACACCAGUCUCACCCAAUCUAAAGUCUCCACCUUUUCCUUGAUUAACCAACGUCACUCGAUUCACGAGUUCCAAAUCUUCCUUCUGACCAUUCUUGAUCUCUUCCAAAAUAUUGCUUGUCAACUUCAACAUACCCAACCUCACACCAUCAGGUGUCAACUCACUAACCAAACUCAAGUCUCGAAACUGCUCAAUCAAUUCCAACUCUUUAACCAUCAAAGCAGACAUAUGCAAAGUCUUUCUACUCAAAGCAUCCGCAACAACAUUAGCCUUUCCGGGAUGAUAACUCAACUGAAAAUCAAAAUCCUUAAGAUAUUCCAACCAUCUUCUCUGCCUCAUAUUCAACUCUUUCUGAUCAAACAAAUACUUCAAACUCUUGUGGUCACUGAACACCUCAAACUUAGAACCAUACAGAUAAUGUCUCCAAAUCUUCAAUGUAUACACAACGGCUGCCAAUUCCAAAUCAUGAGUCGGAUAAUUCUUCUCAUGCACUUUCAAUUGCCUCGAAGCAUAAGCUACAACCUGACGAUUCUGCAUAAGCACACCACCAAGACCCAUCUUAGAAGCAUCACAAUACACAACAAACGAUUCCUUCGGAUUCGGCAAAAUCAACACCGGAGCUGAAGUCAACCUCUUCUUCAACUCUUGGAAACUCUUCUCACACUUGGCAUCCCAAACAUAAGCUUGUCCUUUCCGAGUCAACUGCGUCAAUGGCAACGCCAACUUAGAGAAUCCCUCAAUGAACCUCCGAUAAUAACCGGCCAAACCAAGAAAGCUUCUAAUCUCAAAAACAGACUUAGGAGACUCCCACUGCAACACUGCAUCAACCUUGGAAGGAUCCACAGAAAUACCACCCUUAGAAAUCACAUGACCAAGGAAACUCACUUCCUUCAACCAAAACUCACACUUAGACAACUUGGCACACAACUGGUUCUCUUUCAAGACUUGCAACACAAUCCUCAAAUGCUCAGCAUGCUCUUCCUCAGACUUUGAAUACACCAAAAUAUCAUCUAUGAACACCACCACAAAACGGUCCAGAUAAGGAUGAAAUAUUCUAUUCAUGUAUUCCAUAAAGACACCUGGUGCAUUAGAUACUCCAAAUGGCAUCACAGAAUACUCAUAGUGUCCAUACCUCGUUCGGAACGCAGUUUUGGAUAUAUCUUCCGCCUUUACUCUAAUCUGAUGAUAUCCUGAUCUCAAAUCAAUCUUACUAAACACCUCUGCACCCACUAGCUGAUCCAUCAAAUCAUCAAUCCUUGGAAGUGGAUACCGAUUCUUAAUCGUCACCUUGUUCAACUGUCGAUAAUCCACACACAACCUCAUGCUUCCAUCUUUCUUCUUAACCAACAACACUGGAGCACCCCACGGUGAAACACUCGGUCUAAUAAACUGCUUCUCAAGCAACUCUUCCAACUGAUUCUUCAAUUCACCCAACUCCGAUGCAGACAUCCGAUACGGCGCAAUCGAAAUAGGACUCGUGCCUGGUACCAAAUCAAUUGCAAACUCAACUUCCCUCUCCGGCGGUAACUCGGUAAUAUCCUCUGGAAAAACCUCAGGAAACUCUUGCACUACCGGCAAAUCACUAACCCCUUUCUCACCACCAACCUUCAAAGAUGCAAACAUCAUAAACACACAAGCCUCACCAUCUAAAGACUUCUUCACUUGCUCCGCGGUCAAAAACUUCCUAUCUAACUCUUCUACCGGCUUAGAAAAAGUCACACUCCUAGUCAAACAAUUAAUGCUAACCCCAAAAGCUAACAACCAAUCCAUACCAAAAAUCACAUCCAUAUGCUUCAACGGAAGACAAACAAGAUCCAACUCAAAAUCAACAUCACCAAAAUUAACAGGACACUUAGCACACAUAAAAGAAGUAGUCACCGAACCGCUAGCCGGGGUGUCAAUAACCAUUCCACGCAACAAAGGAGUUACAACCAAAUCCAAACGUUCAACACAACUAGCCGAGAUAAAAGAAUGAGUAGCACCAGUAUCAAUAAUUGCAAUCAAAGGAGUACUAUUGAUAAAACACAUACCUCGGAUAAGAUUAUCCGGCUGCUCCACCUCCUCGGCGUUCAAAGCAAACACCUUUCCCGCCGCCUUCUUUGGCUUGGUACACUUGGUACUAAUAUGACCCUUCUCUCCACAAUUGUAACAAGUAGUCUCUCUUGCAACACCUCUGCAAUCGACCGCCUUGUGACCCGCUUUCCCACACUUGUGACAAGUAAAAUCAUUCUUGCAAUCACUAGCAUAAUGACCCAUAGCUCCACACUUAAAGCACUUGACUUCCGCCAAACUUGGCCUAGAGCCUCCACCAGCUUCUCUCUUCUUUCCUUUGUCCUUGCUGUAAGGUUUUCCAGCCCCAUGUCCUCUUCCUCUCUUUUCACCCUGAGCCUUGUAGUAAUUAGACUUAGCUUUCCCAGCAUCAUCAAACAUACGACACUUAUGCACCAAAGUAUCAAAGUCUCGGAUCUCCUGAACACACAUGUACUGAUAGAUGUCCGGCCUAAGCCCACUUUCAAACUUCACACACUUGGAAACCAUAGCAUCCUCCGCAUUGAUGUAGGGACAAAACCUUGCAAGCUCCUCAAACUUCGCCGCAUACUCGGCCACAGACAUACUCCCUUGCUUCAAAUUCAGGAACUCCACUUCCUUCCUAGUCCUCAAAUCCUCUGGAAAGUACUUCCUCAAAAACUCAGCCUUGAACCUUGUCCAAGUCACAACCUCUCCACCAAUCUCAAGUCUUCCCUUAGCAUUGGUCCACCAAUACUCAGCCUCCUCAGCAAGCAUGUGAGUAGCCAACCUCACCUUCUGAUCAUCACUAGUCACCAUAGCACGAAAGAUCCUCUCCAUGCCUUGCAACCAUGUUUGAGCUCCAUCCGGGUCGAACCUUCCCUUGAACGUAGGUGGAUUGUUUCGCAAGAAACGAUCAAGCCUCCGCUCCUCAGCUUCUCCCUCAUUCCGACGACCAAUCGCCGCUUGCUCAUUCGAUUGAGCCAAAACCUGAGCCAUCGCUGCCAAGGCUUGUGCAAUCGCCGCAUCAUCACGACCUCCUGCCAUGUUCGCACUACACAACCAUCUAAACGAUAAGAAACAACACAACAAAGAUUAAUCUAAACGCGACUGACCAUGGCUCUGAUACCAACUUGUAACGCUCCUAUUUCUAUUAAAGCAAUUAAACAUGCGAAUAAUACAUUUAUUCAAGAAAUAGAGAUUACGUCUUAUUCAAAAUUCAAAAACCGAUAGACAUGUAUGUAAACCUCAACAGUUACAGCGGAAUAUAAAUCAGAGUGAUCAAAUAUAUACAUGCCAUGAGCAAAUAAAUCAUAUCCAAAAGAUAAAUCUCAAAACCCAAACAUCGGGUAGUCAUCAACAAAAUAAUAAUCCCAACGAAAAUAUAAACAACCUAAUCUAGACCGACACGACAAGCCUAGAUCAGAGCCGACACGACACCGAUAUCGGAGGAAGCUCCCGAUAUCCCAAGCAAAGACUCACCGAGACUACUCCUGCACAACGUCUACUCACCCAUACAGGCAAGUAGGCGGUUAAAACCACUGGGGGUAAGCAUUACAUUAUCAUAAUCCAGAUAAUAAUCAAAUCAAAUAAUAUCAUGUACUUGAAUAAUAUUAGUCAUGCAUAAAUACUUAUACCACAACUUGAUAGUUCGUAUCCACAUAUAUCAAUCACAUGAAUAAUUAUCCAAUCAUAAAUAUUCAUUCACAACAUCAAUCAUAGACAAUCAUUAUCAACAUUCAUUCAUCUCAAUUCAUCACCAAUCACAUAAUUCACAUAGGACUCAUGCUAUGAUAUGCACUUAUGGACACAUAAAUGCAUGCGGUACCAAAUCUCAACAAGGUCGUCACCUUUCGAUGCCACUUGCACAUCGAAUGUAAGGGCUCACACCUGCCUUACAAUAAUCUCGAAGUAAAAGAGUCAUCCCUUUUACAGCAACAACGACUAUGAUGCAUGGACAUGUAUAAGGACUCGAUAAUGCGACAACAAUUCACAAUCUCAACUCAAUAUAUAGGACAACACCCAAUUAUAUUGAUUAUCUCCACAACAUUGCAUUAUCAAGAAAACAUGCCCACACAAAUAAAUCAUAGUAUUCAUCAUCACACAUCAACAUAUUAAUCAAUAAUCAACAAUGUCAUCCAACAUCAAUUACAUGAUUUUCAAUAAUCAACAACAUCACUUAUCACGUAUGAUUUUACCAAUUCAAGAAUUCUCAUAUUCCAAGCAAUUAGCAUACAUUUCUCACGAUAAUCAUCAUACCUCAAACAUAUACAUGCAUACUCAAUUAUUCACUCUAAGUACCUCAUUAACCCAUUAUUAAGUUUGGAAAAGUUUCACGACUUAUAGAAAAAGUUAUGAUAAGUUUUCACAAAAAUCCACAUGACCCAUGUGUAGUAAUUUGAUCAUAACUCAAAUUCUAAAAAUCAUUUGGACGUCAAACCAAAGCCAUUAGAAAGCUAACUUAAUUAUCUAAAACUUUCAUGUUUACACGAAAAACCAAUUCAACACGGAAACAGGUGAAAAAUGUGAAUGUUUUCCAGAUUUGCUUGACAGCAAAUCGGUGGCCGAUUUUGACCAAUCGGUGGCCGAUUUUCGUCGAACCAAAACUGGAAAAUAAGCUCAGAAAUCAGUGGCCGAUUUUGGGAAAUCGGUGGCCGAUUUUGGGCUUCACAAUAGUUCAAAAAUCAGCUUAACAAUGCGUUUUUCACUCAAAAAUCACUCUUAAAUCACUAGAUUCAAAUACAAGACUCCCAAAUUAAAUCAAACAUUACCCAUAAUCAUAACACUUGUAAAUAACACUUAUACCACUUCAAAUCAUCAAGUUCACAUCCAAAAUCAUAAUCAACCCAUUUUCACCAAAACACCAACAACAAUCCAUUUCUCAACAACAAAUCAUGAAUCAUGCAAACCCAAGCCAUAUAUCAUCAUCAACAAUAUGACUAAACAACAACAACAACCAUUGAUCAUGAAACAUAUCACAAUUCAUCAACAACCAUGCAUAAUUCACCAAUUGAGCAUAAUUUACAAACUACCCAUUUUCAUACAUCAUGAACUUGCAAUUUCAUCAUCAACAAUUCAUUUAACAUCAAAUUAACAUAUUCAAACAUAUCUCUACAACAUAAGCACGAAUUUCAAAGAUUGGGUUCAUGAUAAUCACUUAUUCUCAUAAUCAAUUAUGCAUAGAACAAGAGAAAAAGAAUUAAUUAAAUGAUUAUGAUAAAAACUAACCCCCUUACCUUAGAUGAAGAUUAAUCCCAACUUAGACUUCUCUUUAGCUCCUAAGCUCACCCCAAUCUUGAUUCUUCAAGCUCUCCCUCUUCUCUCUAACCCUUGUUCUUCCUUUCUCCCACUUUCUCUCUUUACCUCUCUCUAACUUUGUGAAAUGAAAAGAAUGAAUGAUAUUUCUCUAGGACAACCCUAGUGUUAUCUCCUCUAAUGGGCUCAACUCAAAAUUCUAAUGGGCCUAACCCAUCCUAACACAAUUCAAAAGUUUCUAUACACUCCACGGUAAUUACUAACAACGGUAAAAUCUCAAUUUACUUAAUGAAAUAACUAUUCUCAUUAAUCACUAAAAGUAAUUCCCACCAAAAUUAUAAUUUUACCCGUUCACACAAAAUGACCAAAAUAUCCUUAAGUCUAAAAAUGACUAAAAUACCCUUCUAACACGGAAACCCAUGAAAAUGCACCCAAUGACAAUUAAAUACACUCAAGCACAAAUAAUCACAUAAUAAAAGUAAUUAAAAUAAAUCUAGCUAAAAAUCGGGCUGUUACACUUUUCAACUCCAACGAAGACCCCACCUCCCUCUUUCUGACCGAACCACCAUUCCUCCUUAACACAGCGCUCUCACCACCAUCAUUGUGUGCGAAGCGAUCAAACUGUGCCUCGCGUGCCACCACACGACAAUCCCCAAUCCAAACAGCGUUCAAAGCUUGUAAAAGUUUCACAGAAUUUUUAACGUUCACGUACCGUACGAAGCCGAAUUCCUGACCCAUAGCGUUUCUAUACCUUGCAAUAUAGACAUCUGAUAAAAUGCCACAAACUUCAAACGCUUGCCGUAACCUGAACAGUGGGAUAUUGUCCGGAAAAUUUGAGACAUAAAAUGAAGCUUUCCUCCCCUCAGAAACAAUGUCAGAACCAUGCCAUUCAGCAGUUGCAACACGACCUCCCACUUUGUUGGAAGAAUUGCCGCUAACCCUAAUCCCUUCAAAGCGCCUAUCUUGAUAGCCAUCUUUAGAAACCUUGCCUAAAACCUGUUGUCGAUCCUGCCUAUAACCUGAAAUCGUUCCUCGAUGCCCGUCUGGAACCCUUGAUCCGUUCUAUCUUGUAUAUUCCGAUUCCGUCGCUUUCCGCUUCCUAGACCGCACCACAGCCCAAUUUCCCCUUUCCCCCCCGUUUUCUGCCACCCAGGCUGGACCCCGACCCCCCCAGAGUGCCUCACCGCCGGAGAAAAGCUCCGGCGCGGUUGUCGGAAGGUUGCCCUAACAACACCGCCACUCCUGCUCUCUCUAACUCUCAUCGCGUUAUUAUAGUUGACCUCGGUAGUUCUACCACAUGCAUGCAUGUUAUAUAUUGGUUCGAAAGAUGAUUGAAAUACAUACAGAAUGCGGCAAGCAAGAAGACAGCAAAAGGAGCAAGCUUAACAUAAGCCAUUGAUUGAUUGAUCAAAAGAAAGAAUUAACCAGCUACAAUAUACUAUUGUUUGUUAAUUAUGAGCAUAGCAAUUUAUAGAUAAAAUAAUGUUUUUGUCUGAUCCAUGUAUCCUGAAAUAUUGCCUUAUUAAAUUCAGAAGUGAGGAACACGAGGUUAAUUGCUUAUAAAAAAUAAAUAAAAUUAUUCAAAAAAUAAAAAAUAAAAAACAAUUGGUCCCCCUCUCGAAAAAAUAAAGAAAAAUCUUCAAAAUGGUCCCCUCAAUAAAACUUAUAUAUGGUCCGCUCAAAAAAAUCUUCUAUAAUGCUAAUAUAACUAAGGUUAAUCAAACACAAACUCUGUACAAGGAUAGACUGCUACUGCAAUAACCCGUGAUUUAAAUUCAUAAAAAAUAAAAUCACAAGUUAUUGCAAUAACUCGUGAUUUAACUUAAUAAAAACGCUAAACUGUACUUUUCGUCCCCUAUAUUUCAAAAUGUUGCAGUUUUGGCCCCUUAUUAAAAAAAAUAACAAUUUUGGCCCCUUUCAUCAAAAAAUUGCUGCGAAGACGCCAUGUGUCCCAAAAAAGGGGCCAUAAUCGCAACUUUUUGUAAAGAUAAGGGGUCAAAAAACAUAUUUCCCUUAUGUUAGGAGGUCAAAAGAGCAUAUUUCCCUAAACAUAGGGGAUCACUUUUGCCAUUUUUUAAUAGGGGAUCAAAAUCGCAACAUUUUAAAACUUAGAGGGCGAAAAAUAAAGUUUAGCCUAAUAAAAAAUAAGCUUUUGUCAAAAAAAAAAAAAACUUCGUAAAAAAUAAGCUGAAAAAUAAAUAAAUAAACAUUAUCGACAUUGAAAGAUUGGCGACGUGGCAUCGACAUCUUAAUAUGUAAUGCAAUAGUCGGCACACAAAUCAUUUUCAAAGGAAAUGAGAACUCAUAUAAAAGUCUUUACCAAAGGAAAUAAAUCCCCAUGUGAUUUUCAAACAAAUGUUAGCAUAAAGGAUGUUGUUCAAUUUUUCUCGAUCAAUAUUUUCAAAAUAUCACAUUAAUUAUAGAUAAUAAAAUAUAGGCUUAUAAUUAUAUAAAUGGUCCUUUAACUUAUUUGUUGUUUUUGAUUUAGUCUCUUAAUUUUAAAUUUUUCCUUUUCAGACCCUUAAAUUUAUCUCAGUUGGUCAAUUCAGUCCUAGUCUGGAGACUAUCGUUUGAGUUUGCAAAAUUAAUUCGAGACAUAGCCAUUUAAUGAUGACGAUAAUUAUUUUAUUUUUUUUGACAAAAAUAAACGAUACUCAUUCAUUCAAAUUGAUAGAGUACAUCGAUACAAUACAAAUCCAAAUUCGCUAAAAACAAAAAGGAAGAAUAUGUGAACAAACUCACAACAUCCAUGUUAAUAGCAUAAAACGACAAAGUAUAUAUGCCUACAAAUAUGACUAUAUUCAUGUCUCCGAAAUACCCAUGUCCCCGGAUCUGCAACCUUGACGACGCCAAAAUCAUUGUUAUUGAUCGGAUCUGAACUUGCUCAAAGCUAAUUUUUCAACCAGAAUCAAAUAAACACCGCACUAAGACGGGAAAUAAAAAACACACCGCACAAAGACGGGAAAUCAAAACAAACAAAGUCGUUCAGAGAAGACGAAAUCAUAAAAACAAAACGAAAGAAAUCAUAAAAUAUGUGAAAUCACUUAUUCAAUUAGGAUAAAAGGAAAACAAUUCGGAGGGGUGAUUUUUGGGUCAAAAUUGACCCUAAAUCACCCCUCUGAAAAGAAGAAAUGAGUGAUGGUUAGAGUUUGAGAAGAGAGAGAAAGAAAUUGGAAUUUUUUACCCUUUAUUUUAUUUUUGAAUAGGCAAAAAGAAGCCUUUAUAAAAUCAAAAUGCAUCAAAUAGCACAAGAUAUGCUAAGUUAAUUCUUAAAAACAUGGCAAGAACAAAGCAUGCGGAUAACAAAUGCCCUUGAGUACAACAGUAGUGAUCCUCCCUUCUAUGGGAGAGGCUUAGGUUAAAGGCGAUUUAGAGGGGUUGAUUUAGGUGUGAUCUCGACAGGGGUUUUCUUGGUCAUACGUAUCCCUAAGGAUCUUGGGGAAUUAGAGCUACGUAGUUCUAUAUUUAUUGGGACUUAGGUUUAUAGUUCUAGCCGACAGGGUCAUCUCUAUAACAUUGGAGGCCCUACUCUCAUAGUAAAGAUAUGCCCCUAGAAAGAAAGAAAGAAAAAACACAAUUUUUUUAUAAGGGAAAAAAUGUUUAUAAUGUUUUAUUUUUAGAGAAUAAUUAUAAUGUUUAUGAUUAGAGGUUUACUAUUUUAUACGAUAAAUAUCGACCAAAAUUUUCCUCAUGAGCAUAGUUCAGUUGGCAGAUAUAGUGCAUUAUAAUAUGUUGGGCAAGGUUCGAACCCCGGACACCCAACUUAUUCACCUUAUAAGGUGAAUUCUAACCACUAGGCUACUUGACUAAUUCACCUUAUAAGGUGAAUUGUAGUCACUAGGCUACUUGAUCAAAAAGUCAAAAAUUACAAGAAAUGUUAUAAAAAAAUAAGAAGACAAAAAUAUAUUGUAUUUUUAUUUGUAAACACUAGAUCUUUGGCUCAUGCGUCUUCUUCUUCAGAGAUAGAGGCAAAACACCAGCCAUAUUUGAUAUCAGAAUUAGGAAAGCGAGCACAAUAAUUCCCACUACCCUUUUUUGUGCAUUCAUCAUGAGACCAACAUAAGUUAGGUUGUUCCUCAACCUUCUUUUUAAUCGUAGAAAGUGGCUCGCAGUUGCCUAAACCCCAAGAUGUGCAAAUAAAGCAAUAACAACCAUAGUCACAACCAGUUUCAACGGUGGGGCUGCAAAACGACAAACUGUUUCCUUCUAUUUUCUUCAUCUCGAACAAACUAGAACGCCGACCCGUGCUGACGCAUGGGUCAUAUUGAAAGUAAAUACUAAGAAAAAUCUAAAAACUUUUAUAAGAUGGCAAUGAAAUAAGUCGUAUAAUAAGUUUUUACGACAUUAAUCAUACCAUGGGAAGGAUUUUAAUUCCGAUGAAUCAUACAAACAACACAAUUUAUGAUACGUUAACGAAACACUUCUCGAUAAAACACAUUUGAUGUUACAUCAGAAUAUUUGUCAUCCUCGUUAGUUAUCAAUAUUGAUAGAAAUUUGGCAAGUGUACCAAUAACUAUCGAAGUAAUAAAUUAAGUUCGUAUCCACGAGGACUGUGUUAAUCUCAACUUAGCAAUAAAGUUAAUAUCUAGGAUGUGUAAAUUUUAUAAUUGUCUGAGGCAGUAGGUUUGUGUGCAUAAAAAGUAAUAAAUGUUGUUGAAAGAUGAUUUGAAAAGGAUUAUUAAACCGAUGAAUCUCUUAUUGCUUUAUAUGAGAAGUUUACCUCCCUUUAUUCCUAAUUACUAUUCAAUCUUUACGACAAAUUAACUAAGUAGAUUUGAUCAAUCUCUUGACUCAAAACCCUUUCCUAAGUUAUAACCUUUUAAUCUCUUAAACCGAUUGAAUAACCGCGGAAGCGAUAAAAGAACGUUAAUUCAUGAGUCAUGAUCCUCAAUUUCCUAUAUAUCUCUAGGUUCCUAUGUUGAAUCAAACAGGAUUACUAUUUCAGGAUUAAAAGCUAGGGUUAAUAGUCAUUCAAUUCAUAAUAUCAAUUCAUGUAAUUGCACGAAGCUAGGGUUAAUAGUCAUACAAAGCAAUUAUCUGAAAAGCAAUGAACACAACACAAGUAAUUCUGAAUAAAGACUGAAUAACAUUAAUAAUAAAGAGAGUAUCAACUACUGAUUCAUAUAUUACAAUAGGGUCAUCAUGGCUUAAUCAAUAAGGAAAUUAGCUAGACAUGAUCAAACGAAUAAACAACAUAAUAAAGAAAAUAAACCGAUAGAGUUCCAUCGUUGUCGGGCCUUGUUCUUCAUGUUUUUCCAUUUCAUGUGCUCCUAUUUCUUUCGUGCGGCUCCUUUUCCUUUUCCAAAACGUGAAUUGCACAGAACGUCAAAAAUUCCCUUUUUGUGAUGUGCUGCUUCCUUUUUAUAUUGCCUUCACCAAGUUCUUUUGUUAAUUUUCUCUCGGGUCAACAGCCCACUUCUUUUACUAUCCAUGUAUUAAUACACCAAACUUACUAUUAAGUUUCAACUCAUACCUCUUUUUCUUCAAUAGGCUAGAUAAGUUGCACAAUAAUUUCUUCUCAUUCCUUGGCCUUGUAAAUAUGUCACUAAUUGACCAAUAAUGAUAAUAAAAUACUAUUUGACUCAAUAAAUCAAAAACGACAAUUUAUUCAAAAUGACUCUAAAUUAAAUACUAAACUAAUAAAAAAAUGAAUUAAAACUUAACUAAAAAGACUCUAAAAAUGUGAUAUGACGGACUAUCAUCACAACCCCAAACUUGAAUCAUUCCUUGUCCUCAAGGAAUUCACUUGCGACAUUGACAAUCGACAGUAAAAUAACAAUUACCUAACCAAGUAGUAGUAUCCAAAAGUUCAUCUUCCUCUAGCCAAUGAUGAGCUAGUUUGACUUUCAUGCAUCCACCAUUCACAACUACACACAACAAUAUGAUAAGGGUUCACACUCAAUCAACGUGCAGGUCUACAUAUUACCAUACGCUUGAAAAGUUUCUAAACGUCAAUCAAAAUCAAUAUCAUUACACACUUUGAGGUCUUUCAGGGUUAUAACGAGGUUUAGGUUAAGGUGAGAUAAUAUUUGGAUAAGUAGGCUACACAAAAUUUGAGUUAGGCAUUCCUACGGAAAUUAAAGAAUGGAUUCAAUUCCUCAUUCACCCCUUGAAAUAACAAUUUGUAAAGGUACUAGAGAAUAUUUGUAACUUUUUAGGACAAUCGGGUUUAAAAUUACUCAGAUUUUUCAUUGUUUGUCCCUUGCUUUUUAUUCUUUUUUUUUUUGAUACACCAUUUUGAGUUUGAGUGUAUAUUUUUCAUGAUUUGUUCUUUGUUCUCUAGUACCUCCAUUUGUUCUACCUCCACCCCAAACUUAGUUGGUUGCAAAUUCCAAUAGCAACCCCAAACUUAUUGUUUAGCAACACCCUACAUAGCCUAACUCAAAUAUAAUAUUUUUUUGGGUCAAAUCCUAAAAGUCCCUAGGCUCAAUAUGUAGCUUGUCACCGAACAAAAAGAUCUAAACCUACCGGCUCAAAUUGGCUUUCAAAAAGGAUAAAUUCAAUCAAAAUCAGGGUAGGCUUGAAAAGGCUCACAGAACCAAGCACUUUUGCCUUCACCAAGUUCUUUUGUUAAUUUUCUCUCGGGUCAACAGCCCACUUCUCUUAAAUCAAGUUCAACCAUUAUUUCCGGCGGUCCCAUUGCCACUAUACAAUAUAUUCAACUGCAAGUGCGCCUUCGUUCAAGCAUCUGGUCAUACAAAAUCACAACAAGAGAUGGGUCUUAAUUGAUUCAAAACAAUUGGUUUAAGUGUAAGUAUGAUAAAAUCCUUACAAGAAACAACCAUGGUAAAGGAGAUUAAAGAAGAUGAGUCGCAUGAUCUUAGUUAUUAGGGAUUGAGUUUUUUAUAUAAAAAAAAAAGGCAUAAAUUGAAGUUGGAAACGAGUUGGUGUGUGAGUCUAGAAGCAGAAACCGUUGUUGAAGAGAUAGACCUUGAAGACAAUCAAUUUCCAAUUUUUAUUUUUAUAUUUUAUAAAUAAUAAUGAUGUGUAAUGCUUUUAGUGGUUGGAACUAAAUAUGAUCUUUUAGGUGAGAGACCAUGCAAGAGUUUCUCAUUAUUAUAAUGUAAAGAUAUAUUAUACUCUUCUUCUAAAUCUUUAUCUUUAUUAUAUAUAUUUGCGCUAUUUUUUUUUAAAAAGUACACGUGGCAAGCUUAUAUUCUCCAUCUCAUUUAAUGUUUUCUUAUCAUCCAAUCAAAAUGGAUUAUGACACAUUUAUUUUAUAUCAACCAAUAAAAAGAGGAUCAUGACUCAUUUGUUUUUCAUGAGCCAAUCAAAAUGGAUCAUGAUAUGAUUUUUUUUUCUAUAUAUAGACAAUUUAUUUUUCAUUAUUUUCAUCUAUCUCUUCCUCCCACAAAAACUCAUUGAUUUCAACCCCAUCCUCAUUUCUUUUAUUUUUUUUUUUAUUUUUUUUUUAAUGUUUUGUUGUUUGUUUAACAUUUCUUAUUCUUAGGUUAUUUUUUAUUGUGAUUUCUUAAGUUGUUGUUUUCUUAUUCAUAUUCUCUUUUAAAUUUUCUUUUCGUGAUUAUAUGUUCUUUGUUUUUUACUAGAUCUUUAGUUUGAAUAUGGAAGUCAAUUAAGAGAAAAGAAGAAAUGCAUCACGUAUCAAUUAGAAUAUAUAUGAAGGAUUUAUAUUACCAAGUUUAAAUCUAACCAAUUUCAUCCCCCCUUUUCUUUUAUUUUAAUCUCUCAAUUUCAACUUUUUCUAUCUAUUUAUUAUUCUUUGGUUAACAUUUCUUAUGUUGCUGUUUUACUUUUAAUAUUUUGAUCUUUUAUAUUUUCUUUUGUCAAUUAUAUUCUAUUUUUCUUUUCUUUUUUUAACUUUAUAAUCAGUCGAUAGACAAGAAAAAAAAAAGAUUCAUAUUUUCACAAAAUUGGUUGAAUGGAUGACUUUGAAGUGGAAAUGAUAAAAAAAUACAUGAUAUAUUUUCUAUUAUAUUUUAUAAAUCAUUCAUGUCGUGAAUCAUUCUUCUUCUACUCAUAUAUAUGUUUAAUGUUUUUUCAAAGUUGUUUAAUUUGUGGGUAUGAAAUGGUGAACAUACUUUCUAAAGUUUCAAAUUCAAUCCCGUCAUUUAAAUAAUUCUUAUUCUACUAUACAUUUAACAAAAAUGAUCAUUUUAUUUAAAAGGAAAAAAAGAUCAAUUUAAUUAUUUGAAAUCAUACAUAAAAUUAAAAUAGAAAGUGAUGAAAAAUAACAAAAUUAAUAUUCAAAUUCAAACAACCGUUUUCAAUGUAAAAAAAACACCAUUUUUCUAUCAAUAUUUCAAUUUAUCUAUCAAUUAUUAUACACAAUUAAGAGUUUUCCUACAAUUAUAUUAAUGACUAAUGACUUUUCUAAUCAUUAAAAUUUCAUUUAUUUUAGAAAGCGCACUUCAGUUAUCAAAUUAUUAUAGUAAUUAAUUUGCAAUUAUACUGUCAUUAUGAUUUGUCAUUUUUUUUACAUAAUCCUCUAAUUAAUUUCCAUUGCUCUUAAUACAUUUUUUUUUUAUUUCUAAUAUUAUUAUGUAAAUUUGUUAGUUCACGCAUUGUUAGGUUUUGGUUUGUCCGUGAUGUUAAAAAGUGACAAACCAUCAUGUUGAUUAGGCAUGGUGUUGAUGGAUAUAUACAAAUAUUUUUAAGAAGAUGAAUAUAUGAAGUCCAUGAGUAACUUUUUGUAGAAACUCUAUAUUUUAACCUUUAACUUGAAUAUCAAUUAAUGACUAUAGAUUACUUCAUUCGUCCUUAAAUGUCGUAUGAUAUAAUUAAUGUAAGAUUUUUUCGCUAUAUAUAGACAAUUAGUUUUUCAUCAUAUUCAUUUUCCUCUUCAUCCCAACUAAACAAAUAAUAAUAAUUGUAUUGUUAUUAAAAAAAAUUAAAACAAGAAAAUGUGUUUCCUUUCUAGAAUUUUUUUUUUCUGACCCUUUUCUCCAAAAUAAAUUCAGAUAUGACCCCCUUUGAAAAAAAAAUUCCAAAAUGACCCACUUUUGAUUUUUUUUUUUUGUCCCCGCCAUUUGAAACGGCGGGACUGGCCGCCAAUCUGACACGUGUCACAUCGUGACUGGGCAGCUUUUUUUUGUCAUUUCCGCCAUUUCAAAUGGCGGGACCGAUUUUUUUUUUUUUUCGUUUUUAGCUUUUUUGGGCAACAUUGUACAUUAUAAAUACAUAUUAAUUUAUUUGUGAAAAAAUUUCAAUUUUGCUCCCAUGAGGAAUCGAACCAGGCGCAUAUGGAUCAUUGCCAUUCUGUGUUACCACUAAGCCAAUGUACAUUUGAUGUUAAUUUUCGCAUCCAAUAAUAUAUAUACCAUGUUUUAAAUUCAUUUUUGUUUUUUUAAUAUAAGUCUUAUAAAAAAAAAUAUAUAGGGUCCCCAUGAGCUUAGCUCAUUUGGUAAGGGAUAAUGCACAAUAUGUGCAAGGGCCGGGGUUCGAACCCGGGCACGGACACCUCACUUAUUCAUUUUAAGGUGAAUUUCUCUAGCAACUAGGCUAUUUGACAAAAAAAAAUAUAGGAGAUUUUAUAAUUUUAAUUGGAUUCUAGAUUUUACUUUGAAAAAUUACUCCAAUAUGUACAAAUUCUAGAUUUUAUUUUGAAUAUAUAUAUAUAUCUUGAAAUAAUAUAUAUAUAUCAUUUCAUCGGAUAAUUUAUCGGUGAAAAAUAUAUAUUUCGUCGGAUAAUAAUAUAUAUAUAUAUAUAUAUAUAUUCGUCGGAGAUCCUAAAUUAUCCAAUAAAAAAAAAAACAAAAAUGAAAAACUGGAUGGUUUGUGGUGUGUGAAACUGGUUUUAAAAAGGGUAUAUAUAUUAUUAGAUGCGAAAAUUAACAUCAAAUGUACAUUGGCUUAGUGGCAACACAGAAUGGCAAUGUCUCAUAUGCGCCUGGUUCGACUCCCCCUGGGAGCAAAAUUGAAAUGUUUUCACAAAUUAAUUAAUAUGUAUUUUAUAAUGUACAAGUUGCCCAAAAAAGCAAAAAACGAAAAAAUAAAAUAAAAAAAUCGGUCCCGCCAGGGGCAAGUAAGGAACCUAAAGAACAAGAGGUUAUUGUGGGGGAGUCGGAGAGUGCUUCAGGUAAGGUGGUGCGCUCUAUUCAGGUCGAGAACCUUCUUGAGGCUGACAACACAGGGAUUGGUUUUCAGGGGGAUCCCUUGGCGCGUCGUUUUGAUAUUCAUUCAGCGAGUGUGAAUGUGGACACUCAGGUUGAAACGUGUGUUGAUGGAGGAAUUAAGCAGACCCCGUUGGAGAAUUGUUCGUCUCCUUUGCAACCAAAAGGUCCUACGAAGAGGGGUCGUGCGAGUUCGUGUCCACCACGGCCAGCUAGGUCUGUAGCGUCUGGCCCUUGGAGCUUGGAGUGGAUGUCUGAUCAACAUCAUAGCGAGGCGGGAGUGGUAUACUCGGCUCGUAAAGAGGGUAGAACGUUGGAUCGUUCGAGAAAGCAUGUGGGUAAAUCUGUUAAUCCUAAUCGUAAGCGUAAGAAAGUUAACGGGGUCCUUCAUCAUUCUGUUCACAGCCUGAAAAAAGUGGCAAGGCUUUCUAGCAGUGACAGGGCGGCAGUCUUACAGAUUUUAAAGAAAAAUACUCGCAAACUUAAAGGGUCAGAUCGUUUGAAAAAGGCGGUUCGUAUGCUAUCUAAAGACUUAUCUGAGAAGGAUUCUUCAUCUGAUUCGGUAAAUAAAGAAUGGAAUCAUUGGGUGGUUUUGCAUGGGAAUGAGAAGGUGGUGGAGGAUGAUAUAAAAAAUAUAGGUGCUGCAAUUGGUGUUCAGUUGUCUGAUAAAAAUAUGUUUGGUGUGCUUGCAAGGAAGGGGAAAGGGAAGAAAAAGAGGUUUUUGGAGGGUGAGGACGGAGGUAGUGGGUUGGUGGAGAGUGUUUGAUUGCGGUGGGUGUAGGUGGAGUGUGGGGUGAGGGUGUGGUCGAUGAAGCUGGUGUCUUGGAAUAUUAGAGGUUUGGGUGGGUUGGAGAAGAAAAGGGAGGUUCGGUCUUUGCUGAAGGAAAAGAACCCGUUUAUUGUGUGCUUGCAAGAAACUAAGUUACAAGUGUGUGAUGAUGGUGUCUGUUCGGCGAUGUGGGAUGUGAAAUCGAUGGCUUACUCUUAUCGCCCUUCCCUAGGGGCGUCAGGUGGGUUGUUGACUGCGUGGGAUUUAGCGGAGGUGGAAGUGUGGUCUACUGUUUCCGUGGAGCAUGUUUUGGUUAUUCAUGGUCGUUUUUUGCACUCUAAUGAAGAGUUUUAUUUGUUUAAUGUGUACGCCCCGUGUGAUAAUCGGGCUAGGCGGGUGGUUUGGGAAUCUUUAUCCUUGCGUCUGGGUUCUCUGCGCGGUGCUCUUCUGUGUGUCUGUGGUGACUUUAAUGCGGUGCGUAGUAGGGACGAAAGAAGAUCUGUGUCCGAUCAUGGUGGUUUUUCAGACGGAGAACUUUUUAAUCAAUUCAUUGUGAAUAAUUUUUUGUGUGAUCUGCCGUUGUGUGGUAAAAAAUUUACGUGGUUCAAAGGAGAUGGUAGGUCGAUGAGUCGUCUUGAUAGAUUUCUUCUUUCUAAGGAGUGGUGUUUGAAGUGGCCGAACUGCCUUCAGGUCGCUCAGUUGAGAGGGCUUUCUGAUCAUUGUGCUUUAGUUUUAUCAGUUGACGAAGAAAAUUGGGGACCAAAACCUACUAGAUUUUUGAAAUGUUGGUCAGAUAUUAGCGGUUAUGAGGAUUUUGUCACUUCCAAGUGGAAGUCCUUUCAGAUUGACGGAUGGGGACGUUAUGUGCUAAAAGAAAAACUAAAAUUGAUGAAAGUAGCUCUGAGGGAGUGGCAUGCGGCUCACUCGCAAAAUUUGUCUAGGAGGAUUGGUUCUCUGAAACAGCGUUUGGCAGUAUUAGAUGGUAAAGGGGAAGUUGAGGCGUUGUCGGAUGCUGAUUGUGAUGAGAUGCAUGGUGUUACAGCUGAAAUUCAUUCUUUAUCCCGGAUGCAUACUAGUAUUUCUUGGCAGCAGUCUCGAAACCAGUGGCUUGCUGAAGGGGAUGCGAAUUCUAAGUUUUUCCAUUCUGUUUUGUCUGUCCGUCGGCGUCGCAAUACGCUGAGCUCUGUGGUGGUGGAAGGGGUGGAGGUUGAGGGAGUGCAACCUGUUAGAAAUGCGGUCUUCACUCAUUUUGCAAGUCAUUUUCAGUCGCUCAAUUUUGAACGACCAAGCGUGGAGAAUCUCAGGUUUCGGUCCUUGUCUGUGGCAGAAGGGGGAGGGCUCAUUACUCCUUUCUCGGUUGAGGAAGUAAAGGCGGCUGUCUGGGAUUGUGAUAGCUUUAAAAGUCCGGGUCCAGACGGUGUUACUUUUGGUUUUAUAAAGGGGUUUUGGAGGAUUCUAAAAGAUGACAUUAUGCGGUUUGUUUCUGAGUUUCACCGUAAUGGUAAAUUAACUAAAGGUAUCAAUUCUACGUUUAUUGCUUUAAUUCCAAAAGUUGAUAGUCCGCGGCGUCUUAAUGAUUUUAGGCCUAUCUCUUUGGUGGGGUGUUUGUACAAAAUUUUGGCAAAAUUAUUGGCUAAUCGUUUGAAGGUGGUGAUUGGUAGUGUUGUUUCUGAAACUCAGUCUGCUUUUGUGCAUAAUAGACAGAUUCUUGAUGGUAUUUUGAUAGCUAAUGAAGUGGUGGAUGAGGCUCGACGUUGCAAGAAGGAUCUUUUGUUGUUUAAGGUCGAUUUUGAAAAAGCAUAUGAUUCUAUUGAUUGGGGUUAUUUGGAUGCCGUUAUGGAGAGGAUGUCUUUUCCUUCGUUAUGGAGAAAGUGGAUUAGGGAAUGUGUCAGCACGGCCACGGCUUCUGUUCUAGUGAAUGGCAGUCCUACUGAAGAGUUUCAGUUGUUUAGAGGUUUGCGUCAGGGAGAUCCUCUUUCCCCUUUCCUAUUCUUGUUAGCGGCUGAGGGCCUUAACAUUUUGAUGAAGACAAUGGUUGAUGCUAAUUUGUUUCAAGGUUAUAGGGUGGGAGCGGCUAGUUCCGUGGUUUUGUCUCACCUCCAAUUUGCAGAUGAUACUUUGUUACUUGGUGUCAAAAGUUGGGCGAAUGUUCGAACUCUUCGUGCCACCCUUCUUAUUUUCGAAUCUAUGUCUGGGUUGAAAGUGAAUUUUAAUAAGAGUUUGUUGGUGGGAAUUAAUAUUUCUGAUUCUUGGCUUUGUGAGGCAGCUUCAGUGUUGAGCUGUAAAGUGGGUAAGGUUCCUUUUAUGUACUUGGGCUUGCCUAUUGGGGGAAAUCCGCGUCGUCUUAGUUUUUGGGAUCCUAUUGUGAAUCGAAUUAAAGCUAGACUUAUGGGUUGGAAUAGCCGGUUUCUUUCCUUUGGAGGACGUUUGGUUCUGUUAAAAUCUGUCUUGACUUCUCUACCUGUCUAUGCCCUUUCUUUCUUCAAAGCUCCAUCAGGUAUAAUUUCUUCCCUUGAAUCUUUAUUUAAUCUUUUUUUUUUUUUGGGGGGACCGCGGCUCCGGGGGGUCUGUGCAGAUCAUAGAAGAAUAACUUGGAUAGACUGGAAAACUGUUUGUUCCACAAAGGAGAAUGGAGGUUUGGGGGUGAGGCAGUUGAAGGAAUUUAAUAGUGCUUUGUUAGGUAAAUGGUGUUGGCGGAUGUUGGUUGACAGAGGUGGUUUGUGGUAUAGUGUCUUAGUUGCCAGGUAUGGCGAAUUAGGUGGCAGGUUGGAGGUUGGGGGCCGAAGUAUAUCGUGUUGGUGGAGGGAGGUGAGUCGUAUUAGGGAUAGUGCUGGUGAGGGUGACUGUGGGUGGUUUGGUGGUCACGUGGCUAGGAGGGUUGGUGAUGGUUCUGAUACGUUGUUUUGGUUGGAUAGGUGGUUAGGGGAUGUUCCGUUCUGUGUCCGUUUUCGUAGAUUGUUUGAGUUAACAGAGAAUAAGCUCAUGUUUGUGGCAGACUUGUUCUCUGUUGAUCUGGAGCAGCAGGGUGUUUUUUGGAGGUGGAGGCGUAGAUUGUGGCAGUGGGAGGAGGAGAUGUUAGCGGAGUGUAGGACUUUACUUCUUGAUGUUCUUUUGUUUGCCGAAUGUUUCAGAUACUUGGGUUUGGCUUCCUGCUCCUUUAGAUGGAUACAUUGUUCGUGGUGCUUAUCAGGUGCUAACCUCGCAGGACUAUUCUAGUAUGGCUCAUGCUGCGGAUUUGGUGUGGCACAAACAGGUUCCCUUGAAUGUUUCAGUUUUUGCGUGGAGACUCCUCCGUGAUCGAUUACCAACGAAGACUAACUUGAUUGCUCGAAGGGUGUUGCCGACUGAUAUCUCCUUAUGUGUCGCUGGUUGCGGUCAGCCUGAAUCGGCUACACAUCUUUUUUUGUUUUGUAACACUUUUGGUUCGCUUUGGCAUUUGGUGCGUGAUUGGAUUGGUUGUGCGGGGGUGGAUGCAGAUAAUAUUUCCGAUCAUUUUCUUCAGUUUACUUAUUUGACGGGUGGUGCUGUUUCUAGACGUUCUUUUAUGCAACUUAUAUGGCUUCUUUGUGCAUGGGUUGUGUGGAAUGAACGCAAUAAUCGUCUGUUUAAUAAUGUAAUAACUCUCAUUCCCCGUUUGUUAGACAAAGUUAAGAUGUUGUCCUUAGGUUGGUUGAAAGCUAGAAAAGCUACUUUUGUUUAUGGUACCCGGCAGUGGUGGUCAUGCCCUCUUGUUUGUUUGGGUAUUGGCUAAUGUAGUCUUGUUGGGUUGGUUUUGUAUUUGUUGUAACUCUUGGUUCGUGUAGUAGUUUCUAAGGCACACCUUGUGCUUUAGGGACUGCUUUGUUAUAUAAUCUCAUUUUGGCUUUUUCAAAAAAAAAAAAGUAUUAACAAAAUUAAAAUCUAAGGAAUGAUAGAUAAAUUCAAUAUAUUAUACUAAUGAAAAGUAAAUAAAGAUUAAUUUUUGUAAAAAAAAAAAAAUAAAGACUUAAAUUAUAUGUAUGCGGUUUAGUUUGAUAUUAAAAAAUUAAUUCAAAAUGUGAUCCGAUACGAGUGGUUUACGCAAAGAGAGAUGUUAAACUUUACGAAUUUGUUCUACACGAAAUUUCAAUAAAAAUGACCAAUCAUGGGUACAAUGAUAAAUAAACUUUAAAUGAUGGACAAAAAUGCAGUCUUGAUUUAAUAGUAGUGCAAUUUUUCGGUUUCGUGUACACUAUAUUCGUAAUAUAUAUCAUGUCCGUUAUGCAAAAUAAAGUUCAAACAUGUGCAUUAGGUUUGAUUUUAAAAAAGGUUUUUCGGUUUAAAGUUAAAAAUUUUAUAGUAGUCGUUGAAAAGCCUCAAAUUUUUAUUCAAAAUAAAAGUUUCACUUUUGACAUAUUCUAAAAUAAAAAUGAUUAUUCAAAAACAUGGGAAAAUCAUAUGAUUAUCGAAAUAGGUAUAAAUAUUUUGAAAGAGAAUUGAAUGAUGGCCAUAAGUAAAUUUGAGCAAUGAUCCAAUGAAUUUUACUAAUUUUAUAUAAAGUUUGUCUUUAUUUUUAUUUUUUUUAGGUACAAAAAAUCUAUUUAAUACAUAUAUGCCUAAUUCUAUAUUGAAAUAUGUACUCUGGGUAACUAUUUAAUGAUCAUUUGAUCAUAAUGAUUCUCGAGAUUUGACAUUUAAUGCCGUUAUUAAAAUACAAAAAUCACAAUGAAUUUUUUCGGUAAAAAAUUGUAUGGUGAGGGAAUAUCGGUUCUGUACAAGGUGGGGAAUAUCUUAGAUAUGGAAGAGCACUCACAAAUAUAUUUAUAUCUACUUAUCUUCAGGGAUACUAACAAGGCUCAAAAUCUAUAACCUAUAAAUCCAAAGUUUGUCCUUUUACUGCUAGACUAAACUCUUCGAGUUUGAAAAUAGAAAGAAAAAAAAAUUAUAAAAUGGGUUUUUAUUUUAAAUUAAUCAUGGCAAAUAUUUUUUUUUUUAAAUCUUACUAGCCUACCUAAAUUGGCAUCAGGUACAAGAAAUUACAUAUUCCUUAUACCCGGAUCAUCUUUCAUCUUGAUCUUUUUACUAAAAAAAAGUAUUUGAUUUAAUUGUUCUUGCUAAUAAUUGUCUACUAAAAGAAGUUAUUGAUUUAAUUGCUCUUGCUAAUCAUUGUCAUCGGGGAGAAAAAAAAAUGACAUAUUCCUUAUACCCGAAUCAUCUCUUAUCUUGAUUUUUUUACUGAAAGAAGCUAUUGAUUUAAUUGUUCUUGCUAAUUGCAAUUGUUUGAUCAAACACAUUUUCUAGAAGUUGAUGUUAAUUUUAUGGAUUUGAUGAAUGAGUUAAAAAAAUCAUGGAUAAUUAAUGAGUGAUGAAAAUAUGUUUUAGAUAAAAGAGUGAUGAUUUUGUGCAAUAUAUGGAAGACCUUAGAGAUAAAAGAGCUCUCACAAAUAUACUUAUAUUUACAUAUCUUCAAGGAUACCAGCAGAGCUCGAAGCUCAGAAUAUUUAAAUCAAAGUUUAUUCUUUUACUACUAGACUAAAUCCUUAGAGUUGAAAAAUUGCAAUGAACAAAAAAUAUAUUUUUAUUUCAAAUUAAUCAUGACAAAUGAAAUAUUCCUUAUACCUGAAACAUCUUUCAUCUUGAUUUUCUACUUGAAGAAAUUAAUAGUUUAAUUAUGUUUGGUGAUUGACAUCACCUGUAAAACUUAUUUUGCAAGAGUUGUUGGUAACUUUAUGGAUUUUUUUAAACAAUUGAAAAAAUGACACUACAUAUUGACCCAAAACCUUAAGUCAUCAGUCAUCUCAUUUAUAUUUUGUUCAACAUAUACUUUUACAUUCAAGUUAGAACUUUAACUCACACUUGACAUAUUAACAUAUCUCCCUUAAGUGUGAUACUCUCUGCAACUAUAAUAUAGAGACAUAGCCAAAUAAAUCCAGAAGAAUGCACAACAUGCUAAAAACUAUGGGAUUGUGGUGGUUUCAUACAAGGAGUUUUUUUUCCCUUUCUUUCAUGAGAAAGUAAGGAUUAAGCGAAUGACAUCAAAAAAUGAAGAAAACAAUUCGUCGUAAUGACAAGACUUCCACAUGAGCCUAAAUUAAGUUGGAUAAUCAUAUUAUACUAAGAGAAACUGCACAAGUGAGAUUAACAUCACACCUUCAUCCAAAUUCUAAAGGCAUUAGAUACAAGAGCAACCUCACUAUAUGUUUUCCACUUUCUAAUAUUGCAUGCAAUCUGGAACUUUAACUAAUAUAACACAUAUUAACAUCUCUUCCUUUACGUGUUAGACUCUUCGCAUCGGUGAUUUUGUAACAUAGCCAAAUAAAAUCAGAUGAAGUCAUUUGAUGGUAAAAAAAAAGGUCGAUUGAUGGUGAUUUAAUGCAUGGGGGUUUACGUUCUUUUAUUUCAUGAGAAGUUAGAAAAUAAAUUAGAAAAGGAAAGAAGAUAAAAAAAUAAUUUGAACAUGAGAGAAAUAAUAAGAGAAAAAUAUGUACUCUGUGUUUUAUCGGUGAUAGUAUAUAAUAGUUUGAGUUACCGGUAAUUAUAUGUUUUUUUUGAAGAAGUUGAAUAUUUUUGGGUUAGUAUUACCAAAGAGUAUGACUUCAUUAAAAAAACAUCACAUCAUUUUAAAAUGUCUAAUAAACAUGUAUUUUGUAAACUCAUCAUAACUCAUCUGGAUUUUCCAUUGUCACGUCCCCCAAAGACUAGAAGUGAAGGAAUUUAAAAUAAUGGAGGUUGAAUACAAAAAUACAAUGAAAGCUAAUGACAUCCGACAACAAAGUUUUACAGAAAAAAGGUUAAUUAAAUAAAUAUUCCAUAUAAAUAAGAUUUUUUUUUUGUUUUUAGUCCAUAGAAAUAAGUCACAUUUUUAAUCGUUGUAACAUUUUCCUUUGAACAUUUUAUGGCCCAAAUUGUUGACGGAAAAUUUUANNNNNNNNNNAAAAACAGUACAUCAUAAUGUUGUGAGUUUCGGAGGAUCCUAUAUUGAGUUUGAUCAUCACGUUAGAUUAAAAGAAACCACACAAGUGAGUUUGAAACCACAUCUCCAUCUUAAACCUUAAGUCAUUAAUAUAUGAGUCAUAUCACUUAUAUAUUGUUCAACAUUUACUAUUGCAUCCAAUGUGGAACUUUAAAUAACACUUGACACAUUGACCUCUUUAUCUCAAGUAUGAGACUCUCUACAUCUGUAAUCUACCACCAAGAAAAACAAUCGUUUCCCCCACAAAGUUGAAUCGGCCUAUGGUAUUGUCGUUGGACCGUACGGGAGAGCCAACAAUGGUGUUGAUUGACUCAUUGAACACAAAGCGACCACACAAAUGUGCAUGAUACCAUAUCUUCACCCAAUAUAUUAAAUUUGACGAAAGUCUAACCCGUACUUGGCACGGGUUUCCAAGCUAGUUAUAAUAAAAAUGGUAAUGAGAUUCAAUAGUUCAAAUUUUGAUUCAUCAAUUACCUCGAUGCCUAAUUGUGCAAUUUCCUUGAUUACUAUAAAAACAUAUAUUAGUUAAACAACAGGCCUAACAAAAGCAUAACACAUGCUGAUGAAAGGCAACCAAAAUACAAAGUCAUGAAAAGAAAAAAUACAAAUCACCAACUCUAUAUUAUACAUGUGAAAAUUAGAAAACGAUUAAUGACAUACUUCCUCUAUUUCAUAAUACUUGUCGCUUUUGAGGAAUUUAUACAUAUCAAGAAAUCAAAUAAAUUUUGUUGUUUUUGAUGAAAUUUUGUGUUUUUGAUGAAUUUAUACAUAUCUAGCAUGUUAGGUUUUUUUUUUUGUUUUGACAUAUCGAUAUUAAGCAGAACAUACAUCUUCAAGAAGUCAUUUUUGAAUUUAGAGCUAGAGCCAAACAGAAGACAUAUUUGAGAUUAGAAUUAGGAAAACGAGGACAAUAAUUCCCACUACACUUCUUUGUGCAUUCGGUAUGAGUUUUGCAUAAGUUAAAGAUCUUCUUCGACCUUCUUUUAUAGGGUUAAAUAAGUAAAUGGUCCCCCUAAAUAUAUCAACAUUUGAUUUUAGUCCCCUUAAAAUAUUCUUUAGGUUUUUGGUUUUACAAAAUUUUUCAUCCAUGAAAUUAGUCUCUAAUUUUUAGUCACUCAUGUUUAAUCUUCAUAUUUCUUAAUGAAAUUUUUCAAAAAUUGAUAGAAUAUAGAGUUCAUAUUUUUAACAAUACAUGAAUUAAAUAUAUUUUUUUUUAUGUUUUUGCUACUAAAAAAUCCUUAUUAAAUUCAUGUUUUGUUAAAAAAAAAAAAAAAUUAUUUUUCGAAAAUAUUGUCAUAAUUUUCAACCAUUUCUGAAAAGUUUCAUUAAAAAAUAUGAAGGUUAGACAUGAUUUGACUAAAAAGUAUGGACUAAUUUCUUAGAUGGAAAAUUUUGAAAGGAUCAAAAGCCUAAGUAAUAUUUUGGAAUGAUUGAAGUCAAAUGUUGGUAUAUUUAGGAGGACCGCUUACUUAUUUACCCUUCUUUUUAAUAGAAGAAUAUGAGACGAAGACGAACACUAUCAGAAAUUCUUGAUUUUCCUGCGGAAUUACCUGCGGCUUUUGGUAUAAAUUCUGCAGGAAAUAGUUUUCCUACAGAUUUUGCUAAGGAUUUUGUUUAGAUAAUACCUUAGUGGGUAAUGGUUUCCUUAUAAUUUUAGGAUACACGGGAAAAGUACAUUUGCAGGAAGAGUGAAAAAACCGCAAGAAACAUUCGGAAACGAAGACAUAACACAAGCCUAACAUAUAUUAAUUAAACAACAGGCCUAACGUAAGCAUAACACAUACCGAUGAAAGGCAACCGAAAAUACAAAGUCAUGAAAGCAAAAAUACAAAUCCCCAACUAUAUAUUAUAUAUAUGAAAACGAGUAAUGACAUACAUUACUUGCAAAUCAACAUCAUAUCUUAAAUAGCCACAACCAUGCAUAUACAUCAUUAUUGAAAUUUGGAUGGAUAUUAAGAAAUCCAAUUAUUUAGUUGGAAACAAAGACUACUAUUUAAAGUAGUACAUAGAUGCAUAAUAUACAUCUAGCAUGGUAGGCUUUUCUUGCAUAUUGAUAUUAAGCAGGAACAGACAUCUUCAAGAAGUUGCUUUUGAAUAUAGUGCUAGCUGCCAUCUUGAAUGUAGCUUCUGCUACAGAGAUAGAGGCAAAACAGAAGCCAUAUUUGAUAUUAGAAUUAGGAAGAUGAGCACAAUAAUUCCCACUACCCUUUCUUAUGCAUUCAGCAUGAGACCAACAUAAGUUAGGUUGUUCCUCAACCUUCUUUUCAAUAUGAAGAAGUGUGGCGCACCAGCCAGGCUGAUUCAAAACACCCGUGACAAAGCAUUGACAACCAUCAUGAUUAUUACAAAAAUUAACUUGUGUGUCGCAAUCCUCCCCACACUUUGCUCCUUCUAUUUUCUUCAUCGAGAACAUUACUGUAAAUGACAAAGCUAGUUAAAGUUUGAACAACAUACACAUACCAUUAUUAAAUUAUUAUAAGAAUAAAAUUAAUGUAAUACUCAAUGUUGAACACGUACUAAUUUCAUAGAUAUAAAAUUUUAGAGGGAUCAAAAGCCUAAAGAAAAUUUUAGGGGGACUAAAAUCAAAUAUUGGUAUAUUUAGGGAAACUAUUUUCUUAUUUAACCUUUAGUUAUUUUUAAUUAGCGGACGACAGAGGCAAGCGGAUACAUGCCAAAUGUGAUAUGUUAAUAGUAAUUUAGAAAGAACCAGUUACAAUAUUAAUAUAAUACACAUACCAUUAAUAAUUUAGUAGACUAUUACCACUAUAGUUGAGAGUUUAAUUUCUCAUGAUUUCGAAAAUAUAAAUAUAAUGUAACAUUGGUGAGAAAGAUGAUUGAAAUACAUACAGAAUGCAGCAAGCAAGAAGAUAGCAAAAGGAGCUAGCUUAACAUUAGCCAUUGAUUGAUCAAAAGAAAGAACCAUCUAAAAUAUACUAUUGUUUGUUAAUUCUGAGCUCAACUUUGUAUUGCAUUUCUUCAUUUCUUGCAUGAAUCAAUUUAUAGACAAAGUUAAUGUUUUUGCCUUAUCCAUGGAUCCUCAAAUUACCUUUUUUUUUUUUUUUUUACGAGCGAGGGACACGAGGUUAAUUUAAUAACUAUUUCCACUAAAAUUCACAAGCUUCUAUAUGGUCCCCCUCUCAAACUAUAUGCUUAUCUAUAACUGAGGGUAAAUGUAACAGACCUUAAAAUGAAGUAGAAUCCUUAAACUGUUUAAUUGAAUUGAUGAAGUAAAAUAAGUUUCAAAGCUACUUAAAUGAUUACAAUAAAGAAGGAAGAAGAAUUAGAGAGAAGAGAGUUCAGAUAAAAAAGAAGAUUUUGACAUCACAAUUUCCAUGCUUAUUUCCUUGGCUUUUCUCUUAUUUAUAAGGAUCCAUAUUCCUUAUUCCCAUAUUGUCUUUUUCAGCUAUUUGACUCAUUACAGUAAACAAACACAAACUUUGUACAAGGACCGACUACUACUAUAAUAACUCUGAUUUUAAUUACUUCAUAAAAAAUAAGCUGAAAAAUAAAUAAAUAAACAUUAUAGACAUAUAAAGAUUUGGGGACGUGGCAUCAACAUCUUAAUAUGUAAUGCAAUAGUUGGCACGCAAGUUAUUUUCAAGGGAAAUGUGAACUCAUAAAAGCCUUUACUAAAGGAAAUGAAUCCCCAUUUUCCAAGUGAUUUUCAUAAGGUAGAUACUUCAUCCGUUUCAAAAUGCAUGUCGCAUUAUGAUAAUGGGCAUUAUUCACGUAAUUCACUUUGACCAUAUUUUUAGCAUAUAAGAUGAUGUUUGAUUUGUCUCGAUCAGUAUUUUCAAAAUAUCAAAUUAUUUAUAGAUAAUUAAAUAUAUUAAUGGUCAAAGUUGUGUCUUGACCUGUGUGAAGUAGUUGAUUUUGACAUGUAUUUUAGAAUGGAGGGAGUACUAGUUUGUCGUGCAAGGUAUCUACCCUCAUCGGCGUUGCAUACAUGUAUCAUCAUUGAUUAACUCAUCUGAGGUUUUGACUUGGGUUUUCCCUUAGUUUGUGCAUUAUAUGUUAUUUGGUGUAGAAAUAUAAUUGUUAUUUGAUGAGUGAUAUCUAUAUGAAUGUAUAUAUUAACUCAUCAAAAUAUAUAUUUAUUUAUCCUUGUUGGAUGAUUUAAUAUCUAUAUGAAUGUAUAUGUUGAUGAAUAUGAUGUUAUAUGAUGUUGUUCAUGGUUGAUGAAUUAUUAUAUGAAUGUAUAUGUUGAUGAAUGUAUAUGUGAAAUAUUUAUAUACUGUGAAAGAUGUUGAUAUGAAGUUGUAAUGGAUAUAUGGGAUGAUUAUUGUUGAUGUUGACUUGCUUCAUAUUAUUUAAUGGUGUUGCCUUGCUGUCGUGAUUAGGAUGCUAAUGUUGGUCUAAGUUGUUUAAGUUGUAAGAUGUUGAUCCAAAUUAUUGGAGUCAUAUGAGAUGUCUAAGUUGUUUAAGUUGUAAGAUUUUGAGUCCAUGCUUACUCAUUUAAGUUGAGGGCUUGAUGCCCUGUAAUGUAUAUUUAUCCAUAUUAUGUUGAGGGCUUGAUACCCUAUAAGUUGAGGGUUUGAUGCCCUGUGAGCCUAUUUACGCUCAAUACGUUGGGGGCUUGAUGCCCUGGUUGGUACCACAUGCAUGAUUAAGAGGUCGUAGUUGCAUUUUGUCUAGAUGGUUCAAGAUGUGUAAGUUGUCUAAGUUGCAUUGUCGAGUUGAAGUCGUGUCGUUGUUGUUAAGUUGUUAUUUACCCAUGUGUCGUUAAUGAAGUGUUUAUGAUGUUGAUUAUGAUGUUGUUAUGUUGUUUAUGAUGCUGUGUAUAAUGUGAUGAAAAUGAAGUUAAUGAUGAUUAGAAGUUGAUUGAGUUAUUAAAGAAGUAUUAUAAGAAGAGUAAUGUUAUUAAUUGAUGAAUUAUAUGCUUAUUAUUAUUGAAUGUGAAAUCUCACUCCUUCUGCAUGGAAAUGUUGCUCUUCGUAUGAGUAACUUGCAGGUGAUCGAGAAUAGGUUGAUGUAGUUGCUGUCGUGAGUGGUUUCCUUCUCACGUGUGUCUUUAGGUGCUCUGAUACGUAACGGGAUGGGACUUUGUUGCAUGCUUUUUCUAUUCCUUACGUAUUGAUUAUGAAUUUACAUGACUAUGUUUUAGAUUGGAUAUUUUAUGAGAUGUUUUGAUGAGACCUUCGUGCCAAAGAUUAUUUAGAUGUUGAAUUAAAUCCGUUGCGAAGUAUUAAAUAAGUUGUUGAACUUUUGAAGAAUAAAUUGUUAUUUAUUUUCGUUUAUGAUUUUAAGAAGUGUAGCAUUCCGUUUAUGAGGAAAACUCUGAUUAUUUAAAUGAAAUUUUUAUGUUAGGAAAACGGGGUGUUACACCGUGCGCCCUUGUGGCACAGCCGUGCGUGUUUUCACGACAUUAGGUGGCACGACUGUGCCAACCUCCUUGUUUCUGAAAACUCUGACUUUUCGUAUUUUAAGGUGCUUUUAAGUAUACAAAUGGUUCCCAAACACCUAAACCUAAUUAGAUGAAGUGUAAUUAGACUUUUAAAAGUGGUUUAACAUAGGUUUAUAUUAGGAAUGAAUUGUCUUUGAAAAAUAAAAGGAGACAAUCUUUGUAAGUUUUGGGGAUUUGACGAACUUUUCAAAAUGGUGAUGUUAUGCUUGACCUAAUAUAAUGUUAGGAAGUAACUAGGAGUGUUUUGUUGGUGUAUGGGUAUAAUGUCUUAUCUUGGUUGAAUAAUUGGAAAUAGACGAUUUUGUUAAAUGAUAUGAACUUUGGUCAAAAUAGAUGAAAUUUAGUAAAUGACAUACCAUGGUGUGAUAACUUACAAAUGGCUUUGAAUAAAUGAUAACAUGAUGAAAUAAGAAUGAAUUAAUGAUUGAUUGGUGUAAAAUAUGUUGGUUAUCAUGUUGUGGUGAAUUGUUCGUCUUUUAUGCGAAUUAUGAUUUAUGAAACGAUGAUGUUUCUUUUUGGAGAUGUUUCUUCUUGGUGAUGAUUAUUUGAUGAUGAUUAUGAUGAUGACUUGGUAAUGUAUGAAAGUAAAUGCUGGAUAAUGCAAUUGGUGGGUUAUUAGUAAAGAUAUUAUAUAAUGGUGGGAAUUGUAUAAUAUAGAUUUGAUGAGUUAUGCAUUGUCGAGUAUUUUCUUGUAUGUCCAUGCAUUCAUCAUCAUGUUGAGUCAUGGUGAAAAACGAAUCAAUUAUGAUUAUGUUAGUUUUUGGUGAAGAACAUAAUAAGGUGGGGAUUACGUUAGUGGGUUCUUACGGUAAAAUUAUCUCCGAAAUCCAAAAUGGUACCACAUGCAUGUAGUGAUUCCUAGAACAUUGCAUGCACUUGAAAUCGGUGAAAUUUGUCAUAUUUGACUAAGUGACUUGGUGAAUAUGUACAUCGGUGAAAUUUGGUGAAUAUUGCGAUUAUGUGAAAUUGUGGAUGUGUAUGUGUUGCUUGAUAUACUAAGAUGGUGGUAUGAUAACAUUCAUGUGAGUUACUAAUGUUGAAUAUGUAUAAGUCAUUCAUGUGAGUUACUAAUGUUGAAUAUGUAUAAGUGUAUUUAUUUGAAUAUGUGGUUGACCGCCUGCCUAUUUGUAUGAAUGGGUAGACGGUGUGCAGGAAUGAUUAUCUUAUUGCUUGUGAGUUGCUUGAGGACUAGCAUGGAGCUACCUUGCUUACCUUUUGCUCGAAGUCUAGUUAGGCUCUGAUUAGGGUGUGGAGCAUUUAUAUUUAUUGUCUUUUAUCUGUUGUUGGAUUUGAUUUGAUGAGACCAUGGCUAUGUAUUUAAAACCUAAGAUAUGGUGUGGAGAUUUUAUUACUCAUGUUUUUUAGGAUUAUAGCAUGUUGAUGAGAUUUUAUGUAUGAUGAUUUUCUGCUACGUGUUUUUAUGAAAAAUCAAUUUAUGCAUGUUUUAAGAAAAAUGAAGAUGUAACAUCUAAACUAUUUUGAUAUAUGAAUUAUCUGCAUAUUUUAUUGCUUUCGGGGUUUAGAGUGUUACAAAACAUGCCUAAAAUGAAAUAACCUUUUGCUAAGUAGGAGAUGACUCACAAGUUAAAUUAUCUGACCAUAUUGGUCCUAUGUGUCUAAUGAAAAAUUAAAACGACAUGAAAGUAUGACAAUUUUGUAAUAUGAUCUAGGGGUAAUUGUGAAGUCGGUGGGAGAUGUGAACAUAAUGUAAGAUUAAUAAGAUUUAAGAGUAAUUGUGAAGUUAGUGGUAGAUGUCAACAUAAUUUAAUAUUCUAGUUUUGAACUUGUUUUGAAAAAUAUCUUUCUUUUGGAUGAAUCUUAUUUGUACCUUUAUUUAGGAUGAAUCUUAUUUGUAUUUCUUUGUUGGAUGAACUUGAUUUUAGUUUUACUCUUGGAGGUAGGAAACUAAGUCUGAGGUUGAACUUACAUAACUUUGUUUCAUCCUUUGUUGAUCUAUAUAAACAGACUUUAUUUGAUGGUUCAUGGCUCCCAGGAUCUUUUGUUGAUGGUUUAUAUAAAUUGAGAUUAGUGGCUCCUAACUCCUAUAAUUUACAGUAAUAAAUUAUUUAUUACAUUCAUUGGCUCCCUAGCUUUAAUGUUAAUUGUUUUUUUUAACCAAAUAGCUUAGACUCAUUGUUUUCAAGAGUCACAUUGAAUACAUGAUUAUUGUGAAUUCUUUUGAUGCGUUUGGGAGUUUGAAUUUCAUUUGAUCGUUUUUAUGAUGUUGAAUUUCGAUUUCACUUAUUUUCUUUGAUAUAUUGAUGUGAAAUUUCAUUCAAUAUAAUUAUUGAUGAUGAGAUGAAUUCUUGUAUAUAUUAAAUAUCAAAUGUGAAAAAUUAAAGCUCAUUGUUGAUAGGAUCACUUUGUCAGUGAUCGACACUAUUUUAGAACUGAGGCAUUAUAUAUGAAAAAUUUAAAGCUCGGUAUUGAUGGAAUCAUUAUUCGGUGAUCGACACUAUUUUGAAGUUGAGGCAUUACAUGUGAAAAAUUAGAGCUCAAUGUUGAUUGAUCUCUAUGCCGGUUGUCAACACUAUUCUAAAGCUGAUAUAUUAUGUGUGAAAAUUAAAGCUCAGUGUUGAUAGGAUUACUAUGUCGGUGAUCAACACUAUUUUGGAGCUGAGAUAUUAUAUACACAUGAAAUAUAGAGCUCAAUGUUAAUAUGAUCUUUAUGUUGGUGAUCAACACUAUUUUGGAGUUGAGGCAGUGUGGUUUUCCGUGAACCACAUAAUUUCUCUGGCUUUGAAGCAUUGGAGAGAAAUUGAGGACUGACAUAGAAAAUGAUAGUAUGAUUGGUGAUCACGUUGACAUAUCAUUUUCUUGCUACACUCUACACAAAUGACUAGUCGACGGAAUUGAUGGUAUUUGUAACCCAUGGAAGGUGUUGUAUCAAUAAGGAUAUAACUACCGCCAUAAUUCGAUAUCAUUUAAUUUUUGUUGGAUGGAGCCUUAAUUAAGUGUCGCAUCUUGAGAUCAUUUAGUGGCCACAUUAGAAAGCUUGUUAUCGGUCCCCGUGAAAGGCAAAGGAAGACUUUGUCUUAGAUCUCGGUAAUCAUGACUAUGGCUUCAUCAAUUAAAAAGUAAAUGUGUUCAAAUUUCAUAUAAUAGGUGAUUUAAAUUUUACAAGAAAAUCCUAAACCCUCAAAUUUUGUUCACUUACGGCUUCAAGCGAACUUAACUCCUUACUCCACAACAACCACCACAGCUGCCCCUCCUGAUACCAUCUUAUAAAUCGUGGUUGGGCAUAACAUAAUCCUACAAAACUGACUUGUGAGGUGAGGAUUACCCCCACUUAUAAACACAUUGUCAGGUCAUCUCUUAUCUGAUGUGGGACUCUUUAACAAUUUUUUUUGUACUAAGUAAUUUCUCCGCUAAUAUAUCUAAUCUCAAUUAUCUCGCGCCAAAUGGAGUUUGGUUCGGUCUUAAGCUUCCACCUCCACUUACACAACAUGGCCAAAUAGAAGAGUUCUAUAUUUUUAACACCAGUCUUCCUUUCUUCUUGGGAUGACACACCUUCUCCCAACUCAUCCAAUUGAUUUUCUUGCUGUCCGCCCCUCAUCCCAACUCUUAUUUGAUUGCAUUGUUCUUACUAAAGUUCAUGUCUGUAUUUCAAUUACCUGGUACGUGCACAACGUGACAUGAAUAAUGAAAAUGUGCAAUGGAUAUACUUUUCCAGGUUUUUUAGGAUAUACACUUUUCCUUCCCUAGUUAAAUAUAUAAACAUAAAACAAAAUGUUUAUGAUUAAGACAUUAGUCUAUUUCUGUUUGGAUUAGCGAUGAGUUCAGUGGCACUGUGAUUUUGUAAAGCUUCAAAAUAUAGUUUUUGCCAAAAGCAUAGUGGCUCGUCGUAAUUCUUUCAAUCUCACCAUCAAACCAAACAUUCAUGUCGGAGCUUGAAUAGCUUAUGUGUAAAAUGAAAAAUGAGUUUAAAUUAUUUUAUUUUAUAUUUAAAAUAACCUUUAAUCAAAUUGCUAUCAAAAUUCAACAAAACAGUUGCUUCAAAUUAUAGGGAAAUCAAAACGUGCAUUGCAGAGUCAGAUACUUAGAUGGCAACUUUCAGAAAUUAUAAUGAACACACACAAACACUUGUCAAAUGUCAUCGUUAGCAGACAUUUCCAUAAUAUAUGAAGCUAUAUUGUUGAAAAGGCAAAACACUUUUCUGCCUUUUAGGUAUGAAUACAAAUGAAAAAAACACAUGAGAAGAAUCUAUGCAAAUAUGCAAUAAUAUUAUCAGUCACAACAAUUAAGUUGCUCACUAAAUAAGUAAAUAGUACAAAUUUUAAGUCUAAAUUAUGCAAUGGAAACAGCUAAUAACAUUUCCCAUUCUUUCGUUUUUAUUUGAUUAGUGCAUUUCACAUUCUUUUCACUCACUACUAAUAGCUAACAUGCACAUUAUAUUUCCAAAGGACAUUUCAACAUAUUGAACUAUUGGUAAUUUAUGUAAAAAAGUAAAAAGACAAAGUAGAAAGAGAAAUUAAAGCAUAAGAUGCUGGUGAGUUAUGUGGCUGCAACCCUCGUAUCUAUAACAUGCCAAGAAGUAUUUUGUAACCUACAAACCCUUUCAAGUUUGAACCAUGAAUAUCAAUCUAAUGCAGCUGGAGUUUUCCACUUCUGCAUUUAACAUUUCUUAAUCGAAGAAUCCAAUGCAGCUUUUGGAAAACUUUGCCAUCUUUCGAAACAAUCGAUGCGACUCUCUUCUGCUAAAAAAAAAAAUCGAUGCGACUCUCUUCUGCUAAGCAGUUUUGUCUGCUAGGUUGGACCCUUGUAACCAUAGUAUCGUUUGGGAGACCUUCCAACCGCAUCUUUACUAACAAAUUAACCGAUGUCAAACUCAGCAUCCCCCAUUUCAUCGUCCAUGUUAAAUGUGUUCUUGUCUUACACAUACUACAUUGCAGGGUUAUGUUUAGACUAUAUUUUGUCUCAAAUUAUGUCACCUUAGAACAUUCUGAUAGGAUUAAAUGUUAUUUUUUUCCAAUAAUAUUGUACUAUUUAUUUGUAUCUCAGCUACUGUAUACUAUUAAUUAGUCUUUUCACCGAAGUUGUGUUACAAUAAGGAUAAUUUAGUCAAAAAAAAUUGAUUUACCAUGGAAAUGAGAAUAAACCAUUUCAUGAGACAGAGGUGUAAUGAACAGAACUAAUCCUAAGUUUCAUGCUCUUCCACAGACAUAUAAAGUAACAGAACUAUGCUUAGAUGUUCAUAACGGUCAUAAUCCCCAAAAUUUAACAUCUUAGUGUGUUCUGUCUUAUACAGGUCAAAUUUCUGUUGAAAGUCUCAUCUAGGUACAAGUGAAAACAAUUAACAAUUUAGUAUUUAUAAAACACACAUGAGCAUCACAAAAACCUUGUCGGCUCAAGGAUUAGUCUCGUAACAUGUCCAAAGGGCCUAAGCCGUUGGAAUAACUUGGGGUGCCUACUGGAGUCAAAGAUCCUAAUUAAGGUGAGUUAGAAAGAAAAACACACACACAUGAGCAGCUGUGCAGUAUGCGCAUUAAAGAACAACAGUUACAACAGGAAAGAGUGCAAAUCUGCAAUAAUCUUAUCAGUUACCACAGUCAUAAGUUGUACUUACUAAUAACUUAUAUCAAUUUUAAGGUUGUGUUUCAGCAGAAACAACCAAAUAUCAAUUUUAAGGUUGUGUUUCAGCAGAAACAACCAAAUAUGCCUAAUUAUUACAUAUAAUUCUUAAACCCCUUGUUUCCUCUUAAGAGUUUAAUCUUUUAUGUACUCACAGGUUGUAUCACCAAAUAAAAUGGUUAAUCGAUUAAAAUUACAGGAAAAACAUACGGAAAAAUUAUUAGACCAUCCUGCAAUAGAUCCUUUUUUUCACUUGCGAAUUAUCUUUCUCAUGUUCCUUGUUUAUUACAUAAGUCGAACACAAUUCAAGUAUGCAAGGGAAACAACUAGCAUUUCCCAUUUCUUUUCAUUCACUACUAGUCAUUGCUAUAUACUCAAUGACAAACAGCAGAAAAACAAAAAAGACAUUUCAACAUAUAAACUACUUGUAAA
RNAcentral lists this long non-coding RNA (53721 nucleotides) under Medicago truncatula (barrel medic). RNAcentral describes it as "long non-coding RNA (MTRU_LNC000820)". The record is from RNAcentral. Lineage: Eukaryota; Viridiplantae; Streptophyta; Magnoliopsida; Fabales; Fabaceae.